UUUGAUUUCCACUACUGUGGUUUCUGUUGCUGCUGAUGGUUACCCUUACUAUUCUCCACCACCACCUUACGAGUACAAGUCACCACCUCCUCCUUCUUCAUCACCACCUCCUCCUUAUGUGUAUCAGUCUCCACCUCCACCACCAAUUGAGCACAAAGCUCCACCUUAUGAAUACAAGUCACCACCUCCCCCUUCACCAUCACCUCCACCACCUUAUGAAUACAAGUCACCACCUCCUCCUUCACCAUCACCACCACCUCCUUAUGUGUACAAGUCACCACCUCCUCCUUCACCAUCACCACCCCCUCCUUAUGUGUACCAGUCACCACCUCCACCACCACAUGAGCAUAAGGCUCCACCUUAUGAAUAUAAGUCACCUCCUCCCCCAACACCAUCACCUCCACCUCCUUAUGAGUACAAGUCACCACCUCCUCCUUCACCAUCACCACCACCUCCUUAUGUGUACCAAUCACCACCUCCACCUCCUCAUGAGAAAAAGUCUCCAUCUUAUGAAUACAAGUCACCACCUCCCCCUUCACCAUCACCUCCACCUCCUUAUGAGUACAAAUCACCACCUCCUCCUUCACCAUCACCACCCCCUCCUUAUGUAUACAAAUCUCCACCUCCACCACCACAUGAACACAAGGCUCCACCAUACCAUUACAACUCUCCUCCUCCACCCUCUCCCUCACCUCCACCACCUUACUACUACAAGUCCCCACCACCACCUUCACCAUCUCCACCCCCACCUUACUACUACAAGUCCCCACCACCACCUGUAAAGUCUCCAGCUCCAAAGCCUUAUUACUACAAGUCUCCACCACCACCAUCUCCUUCACCCCCUCCACCAUACUACUAUAAGUCCCCACCACCCCCUUCACCAUCUCCCCCACCACCUUACUACUACAAGUCUCCACCACCACCAGUUAAGUCCCCAACUCCAAAACCUUACUACUACAAAUCUCCCCCUCCCCCAUCUCCUUCACCCCCACCACCUUACUAUUACAAGUCUCCACCACCACCUUCACCAUCUCCUCCACCACCUUAUUACUACAAGUCCCCACCUCCACCAGUUAAAUCCCCAGCUCCAAAGCCAUACUACUACAAAUCUCCACCACCUCCAUCAUCUUCACCACCUCCACCUUAUUACUACAAGUCACCACCACCACCAAUUAAGUCCCCAGCUCCAAAGCCAUACUACUAUAAAUCUCCUCCUCCUCCAUCUCCGUCACCCCCACCACCUUACUAUUACAAGUCUCCCCCACCACCUUCACCAUCUCCUCCACCACCUUACUACUAUAAGUCCCCACCUCCACCAGUUAAAUCCCCAGCUCCAAAGCCUUACUACUAUAAAUCUCCACCACCUCCAUCACCUUCACCACCUCCACCUUACUAUUAUAAGUCCCCACCACCACCAGUUAAGUCCCCAGCUCCAAAGCCAUACUACUAUAAUUCUCCACCACCUCCAUCACCUUCACCACCUCCACCUUACUACUACAAGUCCCCACCACCUCCUUCACCUUCUCCUCCCCCACCCUACUACUACAAGUCUCCACCUCCACCAGUUAAGUCCCCAGCACCAACACCUUACUAUUACAAAUCUCCUCCCCCACCUUCUCCUUCACCCCCACCACCUUACUACUACAAGUCUCCACCACCUCCUUCACCAUCUCCUCCCCCACCUUAUUACUACAAGUCACCACCUCCACCAGUUAAGUCUCCAGCUCCAACGCCUUAUUACUACAAAUCUCCUCCCCCACCUUCCCCAUCUCCCCCACCACCUUACUACUACAAGUCUCCACCUCCACCAGUUAAGUCUCCAACUCCAACUCCUUACUAUUAUAAGUCCCCACCACCACCUUCACCAUCUCCUCCACCACCUUACUAUUACAAGUCCCCACCUCCACCAGUUAAGUCUCCAGCACCAACUCCUUACUACUAUAACUCUCCACCACCACCUUCACCAUCUCCUCCACCACCUUACUACUACAAGUCCCCGCCUCCACCAGUUAAGUCUCCAGCUCCAACACCUUACUAUUACAAAUCUCCUCCUCCACCAGUUAAGUCUCCAGCUCCAACACCUUACUAUUACAAAUCUCCUCCUCCACCAGUUAAGUCUCCAGCUCCAACACCUUACUAUUACAAAUCUCCUCCUCCACCAGUUAAGUCUCCAGCUCCAACACCUUACUACUACAAAUCUCCUCCUCCACCUUCAGCAUCUCCUCCACCACCUUACUACUAUACAUCCCCGCCUCCACCAAUUAAGUCUCCAACUCCAACACCAUACUACUACAAAUCUCCUCCUCCCCCUUCACCCACACCUUACUACUAUAAUUCUCCUCCUCCACCAGUUUCGUAUCCUCCACAUCCUUACCCACAUCCCAACUACCACCCAUUGAUUGUGAAGGUAGUGGGUAAGGUCUACAGCUUCAAGUGUUAUGAUUGGGAGUAUCCCGACAAGUCCCAUAGCAAGCACCACCUCAAAGGUACAUUACAUUCAUUUCUUUAUCCUUUUAUUUUGAUCCUUUAUCUCUGUCAUUUUUCUGUGAGGCUUAUAUGUUUUGAUCACCUUGGCUCUAAAAAUUAUAGACACACUUUUACACAAACAAUUAUUCUUAGCUGUCUCCUUCCGACACUAAGUCUUUAUUCUUUUGACUUUCUAUUGUUUUUUGGAAUGUGAGCUAAUCGUAAUUUCAAAUAGCGAAAUUGAGCAUGGCAAUACUAAUUAGUUUGAUGGAUUUGCUUAUUCUACCUGGAACCAACUUAAGCAAAUAAAUACACUUAUAAAAUUAUCCUUUUUUGUACUAAUUAACAAUUUAAAACUCAGAAUUAUCAUUUUCAAAUUAACUGGAUAAAAGGCACUACAAGGUACACCCACUAUCGCAUUAUUUACGACACCCGCAUAUUUUUUAUUAAAUAUUAUAAAAAAACAUAACUCCUAUCUAAAAUAAUAUAUAUNNNNNNNNNNNNNNNNNNNNNNNNNNNNNNNNNNNNNNNNNNNNNNNNNNNNNNNNNNNNNNNNNNNNNNNNNNNNNNNNNNNNNNNNNNNNNNNNNNNNUAUAUAUAUAUAUAUAUUAAUUCGGUUAGAACUACCUACAGUAAUUAAUAAGGCAAACAAUCAAUAUGACAAGGAUAGUUUAACGGGCUAUUCUUCUAAUAAAGCUGGCUAAUAUAAUUAUCAUAUGAUACUCAGCUUUUAUAGUAGUAAUUAGUAUUUAGUAAUGCUGCCCAAUAUAACAUAAAUUGUCAAUGUAUGAUUUAUGAAUUGCAAUUAUCUUUAUAUGGAGCAGGUGCUGUUGUGGAGGUGAAAUGCAAAGCUGGAAGGAACAUUAUUAAGGCUUAUGGUGAAACCAAGAGCAAUGGAAAGUACAGCAUUACAGUUAAGGACUUCAACUACGUUAAAUAUGGACCAUUGGUAUGCAAGGCCAAGCUUUAUGCACCACCUAAGGGAUCACCCUUCACCGUACCCACUAAGCUGAACGAGGGAACCGAUUUGAAUGUGAAAUCUAAGGACAAGUAUGAAGUUGUGCUCAAAGCUAAGCCAUUUGCUUAUGCUUCAAAGAAGCAUUUUGAAGAAUGUGAAAAACCAAAACCUUCACCAACUCCUUAUUACUACAAAUCACCUCCUCCUCCAUCACCAGUUUACAUAUACAAAUCCCCACCUCCACCAUCACCAACUUAUUCUCCUCCAUACUAUUAUAAGUCUCCUCCUCCACCAUCACCCGUGGUUAAGCCUCCAUAUUAUUACACAUCCCCACCUCCACCAUCACCUUCUCCUCCACCUCCUUACUACUACAAGAGUCCCCCUCCACCCUCACAUGUGGUUAAGCCUCCAUACUACUACAACUCUCCACCUCCACCAUCACCUUCUCCUCCACCUCCAUACUACUACAAAAGUCCUCCUCCACCAUCACCCUCUCCUCCACCGUACUAUUACAAAUCUCCUCCACCACCAUCACCUGUAGUUAAGCCUCCAUACUAUUACAAAUCUCCACCUCCACCAUCACCUUCUCCUCCACCUCCUUACUAUUACAAGAGUCCCCCUCCACCAUCAUCCUCUCCUCCUCCUCCAUACUAUUAUAAAUCUCCCCCACCACCGUCACCUGUGGUUAAGCCUCCAUACUAUUACAAAUCACCACCUCCACCAUCCCCUUCUCCACCACAUCCUUACUACUACAAGAGUCCCCCUCCACCAUCACCCUCUCCUCCUCCUCCAUACUAUUAUAAAUCUCCCCCACCACCGUCACCUGUGGUUAAGCCUCCAUACUAUUACAAAUCACCACCUCCACCAUCCCCUUCUCCACCACCUCCUUACUACUACAAGAGUCCCCCUCCACCAUCACCCUCUCCUCCUCCUCCAUACUAUUAUAAAUCUCCCCCACCACCGUCACCUGUGGUUAAGCCUCCAUACUAUUACAAAUCACCACCUCCACCAUCCCCUUCUCCACCACCUCCUUACUAUUACAAGAGUCCCCCACCACCAUCACCUGUGGUUAAACCUCCAUACUACUACAAAUCUCCCCCACCACCAUCACCAUCUCCACCACCUCCCUACUAUUACAAAUCACCCCCACCACCAUCCCCAUCACCUCCACCUCCUUACUAUUACAAAUCUCCCCCACCUCCAUCUCCAUCUCCACCACCUCCUUAUCACUAUCAAAGUCCUCCUCCCCCAUCUCCCGUUUCUCAUCCUCCCUACUACUACAAAUCCCCUCCACCACCAACGGCAUCUCCUCCACCUCCGUACCACUAUGUGAGUCCUCCCCCACCUUCACCAUCUCCUCCACCACCAUACCAUUAUACAUCACCACCUCCUCCCUCUCCAUCUCCUCCUCCACCAUACCAGUACACAUCACCACCUCCUCCAUCCCCAUCUCCCUCUCCCGCAUACAUUUACAAAUCACCUCCCCCACCAGCUUACAUAUAUGCCUCUCCACCACCACCUGUACACAAGUAACCUUGGAACGCCUAAGCUACAAUAGUGAUCAAUCAUGUAAGUUACUCAUCUUUACCAUGAAAAAAAAUAUAUUAUCAUUAGAUUUGUAUGAUUUUUAGUAAUGAAAAUUCUUAUUUGUAUCUAGGUUAUAGUUUUCGUCAAGUAAUAAAGGCAGGCUCCAUUUGGAGCAAAGUGAGACAUCUAACUUCCAGUCCAUGUUCUUUGAAUAACAGUCUGAAAGUAUCAUCUCUGAACUACAAUCUUUAUGAAUCAGACGAGACUGCUUCUAUUUCUUCGGUGGCCAUCUUAGGAAUCCUGAUCUUAUUGCAGUCAAGUGAUGGACAUAAAAAAACAAGGAAGCGAGAUGCCAAGGGAAAGUGAAAAGUACAAUCCACUUGUAGUGAUUUCUUUAAUUUAUUUCUUGGUAGGUUAAUAUGUCUGUGUAUGAUUGUUUUUCUAUUUAUUGUGGAAUUUUUGUAUUGUGCCCUGUUGCUGUGUUUGCAAUGAGAGUAUUAAUAAUAAAUAAGUACAUUCAAUUUCUGCUCCCUAACUAGUUCACGUUUCUUUACUAAAACAAGUAUACAUGUGAUAUUACUAAAACAAUUUCAAAUAGCUCAAAUAAAGCAUUAAAAGGCUUCCCAAAAAUACAAAUAAGAGAGAAUGACUAAGUCUUCGAUCAUUGGCCUUGGAAGAAUGACUGGCCGAGCCUACGUUUUUGUUGCUUUCUGUAUUGUCUAAAAUCUAAAUCCUAAACCAGAUCUACGUUUCAUUCCAAUCAUAUCAGUAAUCCAAUAAGGUUUGCCAUUUCAAAUUCCUACACUGGUGAAUUAAUUUUCUCUGCCAAUUAUGUUCGGAAUUUUCAGCACAAAUGUUUUGGUGAUAAACUAACAAAAAUGAUAUGAUAAACAACAAAAGGGAAAAACUUUGACGAUAACUUACUUAGAAGAAAUAGCAAAUAAGGUCUCUUUCUUUGGAUUCCUAAAAAGCUUUUAUUAGUUGCUUCUGUCUUCUCCUAUGAGGGAAUGACAAAGUCUUUGGUCAUUGGCCUUGGAAGCAUUAUUGGUUGAGCGUUUGGUGCCUAUUUUGGUUUUCGGUGUUGACUAAAAAUCCUUAACCAGUUCUAUUUUUUACUCCUAUCAAAUUGAAAACUCUUGGCAUAUGUUUUGGUUGAGUAUGGUAAGAGCCAGCUACAUUAUAGACUAAUCCAAUAAGGUUUAACAUUUCACUUUGCUACAUUGAUAAAUUAUAUUUCUCCAUCAAGUGUGUUUGGAAUUGUCAGCACAAAAUUUUCAGUAAAUUGUCUUGUCACUGCAUAUCAUAUUAGACAUGCUUCUCCUGUAAAUUGUCAUGUUACUACAUGGCCGAGAUGUUUUAGGAUUUAAACAAAUAUUCAUAACAGAAAUGGUGAAAUUGAUUAAAACGAAAACCAGAUUAAUAAUAUUGGUAGACUAACCUUCACAAUUUCCUCCAACUAAAAAUCCGCCAAAGCCUCUUUCUCUGUCACUCAUCACUUUGCUAGCUCUGAAAAUCAAGGUCAUAAAAAACAAGUCAUAAAUCAUAUUAAAACAAUAAAAUGCAUAGCGCAGGGAUAUGAGAUUUAAUUGCCUUGUUAGCAACAUUCACCAUCAUAUCAUAUUAGAGUUUGUGUCAAGCUUUUUGAUGUUCAAUAUAUCAUCUACCAUUUAAAUGUAUUACUUAUAUUUAAGAAUUAAUUAUAUGAUUAACACAUGAAAAGGUAGGUGGAUCAUACACUUACGCUAUAAAAGCACGGGCUACAUAGAUAUUAAACUCAUCAUAUUAUUGCCACUAAGAGUAGUUAACUGAAUGAGAAAAAAAUGUAUACAUUAACGUGUAAAAGUUUUAUAUAUUGACGGUACAUCACUUACCAUUCAUUUUCAACCAUCAUCCACUAUUCAAGAAAAAAGUAAGAUCAAUGAUAUGUGUAUAAAUCUACAACAACGCAUAAAAUCUAAUCUUAAAAGGGAAAAAAACACAUGUUCACAAUAACAUGUUAUAAUUGAAGAAAUCAUCAUAUACACAUAGAGAGCGUAGCCUAAUAUGAAAGCAAUGCAAUUGAAUCGGGAUAUAACGAUUCACUCGCUCAUUCCUAACAUAUAAUCUCUAAAAAAAACUCCUCUCUAUGUGCAGAUUCAAUAAUCAAAGCGAAAGAGGCAUAAAAUCGUGCUAAAUGAAAAAUCGAUGACUGAAACCGAAUUCAUACUCGAGAAAAGGUUGUUACCAAAAACGCCUCAUUCCAUCGCGCUUACGAUACUCCAUUCACGUAGAUGGAGUGAGAUUGAGACGGAAAUGGAGUCAGAAGUCGAGAGAGAUUGAACCCGCGAAACACAAUCCAUGUUCCAAGUUCCAACCAAACUUAGCUAACAAUUUUCGUUUGAUUAUUUGCAUUAUGCAAUUUUCAAAAAAUAUAUGAAGGGGAUGAUUGUGGAACUUAUAAAUACAAAUAAUAAUAAAUUAAUAAUAUCAUUUUUUGGAAGUCACUUAAAAAAUAAAAUUAAAAUUGGAAGUAGAAAAUUAAAAUUUAUAUUUUAUAAAUAAAUUUAAAAAUAAUAUUUUCUUUUGUUUAAUAAACUAAUGAGAAAUAGUCGGUUAGUGUCAUUGUUGAAGUGAAUAGAAUGAAUUUGAUUAGUGUGCAUAUAUAUUAUUUAUUAUUUAUAUAUUAUUAUUUUUACUUUAUAGUGACCAAUUAUUACAAUGAUAUGAUUAGUGGGAAUAUAUUAUUUAUUAAUACAUAUAUUAUUUUCUCUAAAAUAAUAUGGUGAUAUUUUUAGUUGGUCUUUCAUGGAAAAUUUAAGAAAUCUAAACUUAGUUUGGAGAGGCAACUUAUGAUAGUAUGAUGAAUUUAAGUUAUGGGGUAAAAAUUGUAUACACUAAAUAAUAAUGUGAAAGUUUUUUAUAUAAUUAUUGUAUUAUUUACAAUUUAUUUUGAAUUAUUAUUGACUUUUAAAAAUAAUAAUACAAAAUGAGAAUGACAUACUUAAUUUUCUAGUAAAAAACUGAAAUAUUCUUUUAAUCCCAACACCAUUGACUCUAGAGUAAUGGAUAACAAAAUUAUACCAAGAUUUAAACACAGAAGAAUGAUUAACCAAGGAAGAACACAAUUUUUUAUUUAUCCGAAUGAAAUCAUGACAUCCCAAAAAAGACUACCAAGUAGGGUCCAGAUUCAUUUCUAAAAAAGAAAAGUUUAAAACAAACAAUGAACAAUUUUUUAUCUCUUGAAAUAUUUGAUGCAUCAUAAAACAUACAAUAAAGCAUGGUUAUUCUAAUGGAUACAUGAGAUGAUUUUUUUAACCCAUAAUAUUUCGGUGCUUUAUUUACACAAUGUGUCAAAACAAUGGUAAACCAAGUAUUACAGGACAAUGCUAUCAAUUCCAAUCUUCAAAAAGUAAUUGCAGUUCCUGUGUCUUAUUCAAAUAUUUGUCACUUUCUUUCAAUGAGUCUAUGCAAGUGAAUUAUUCAACCUUGGUGAUCUUUUACCGAGUCGACUUUUGAAAAAUAUCUGGUUCUAAUGUACAAAUCUAAUUGUAGUUGACUCAUCAUUAAUAAUAAUAAAACCAUAUAUUAAUAAAGAAAAAUGCCAAUGUUAAAGCUAAUUCUCUUAAUAAAUAAAAGGGAGCCAUAUCAUAUAGUAACCAUUUAUCUCAUCUUCAACCAUCUAGAUUUUCUAUAUAUACUUUAAAAGUAUCAUCUUUAAUAAAAGGACCAUCUAAACUUAACAAAAGUUUUAUAAUAAAAACAUCCCAUAUAAAAUAAAAAUAUUAAAUAUUAGUUAUUUAGGCUAAACUUUUCAAAAAUGUGAUUAAAAUAAGAAAAAGCUAUUGGCCCUUCAAAUUAUUUUGGUACUUUAACUCCAUGCAUGUAUGUAAGUUGCACUGUCUUUUUCUUUGUUGUUUUUUUCUUCCAACUUUUAACUCUGAACUUUUUUGCAGAUAGAUGCAGGAGAAAAUAAGAGUCUCUUAUUUUUAUAUUAUUUUUCUGAAUAAUUAAGAUAUUGAUCUCUUUUCAUUCACCUUCUAUUCUCUAUUUCCUUGCACCUUCAGUUUCUUAUUUGGAUCAGGUUUGAUAUUAUUUGCACAUACCCAGAUCUGGCUUUGCUUCAAUUUCUUAACUUUUUAUCUCAAUUCUUAAUAUUUCAUGUCAAACUUUUUCUGGGUUUGGUUUCUCAUAUCAUUUUUUGGGUUAGCAAAAUUUUAUGUUCCUUGGUUGGUCAACAUUAUUUAUAAUCAUUUAUUUGAAUUAUUAGCUUUGGAUUUAGAUUUAGCUAUGAUGCCCCUCUUAGUUUUUAUUUGUUCUUUCCAAUUCAACCUUGCUUGAAUGAGUUAUUGAUGUCAUGAUUUUUUUGUCUAUGAUUUCCAAUUCACUUUUUUAUGCCUUUCAAUUUGUUCUUGUAGAAUCUCUUAUUGUUUGAACUUUGAUUGCUAUGACAGUGGUGUCUGGCUUAUUUGUAUAUUCGGAUUUAUCUUUAGAAAUUCAUCCCUUCUCUGUUAUUUCAAGCAUUCAGUUGUGGUUUUUUUGUGUUGCGCCGAAGAAGAAGUGAAGGCAUAAAAUUUUGCUUACUACUUCUUCAAUGAAAAAAACCAUAUUUCUAAUUAAUUGGUUUUUCGUAACUAUAAACUUAUAUCAGCACAAAGAAAGAACUUGCUUGAAAAAAUCGUUUAGUAUUCAAGUAACCGCUACGUUGUUAUUGAGAAAGUCUACGCGUUUCUUGAACCAGCACAUGAUAAAAAAUUGAAGUGGUUGCUAUUGGUAUUUGUAGUUUGUACGUAGCAGUUCAGUUUGUGGUGCGGGCACGUUGUUUCUACUGAAAACCAGCUACAAUGAAGAAGGCCCUUGGCCAAACUGUUAGGGAACUGUAAGUUUAACUGUUUAUUAUCGUGUGGUUGAAUAUGUCAUGGCUAUAACUUCUAUUUUAGGUGUUCAUUACUAUCUCAGAAUCCUACCCUAUUUCGUAAAUGCUUUAAUCUCUCCAUUGUAUUCCCGCAGUAAAAGAGGAGUAAAUAAGAAAGUGUUGAAAGUUCCUGGGAUAGAACAGAAGGUAAAUAUGUUAUUUGAAUAUUCGCUGUAAAACUGCGAUUGCACAACUCAUAGCGUGAUAAUUGGUGUGAGGAUUUGUCUGUAGUAUGAAUUUAAUUUUCUAUCAUACUUGCCUGUGAAAUUGCUUGUCGACUAUCAUGAAAUUUACAUGGUAUAAUCUUAUUGUGCGAUUUUUAAUCAGAUCAAUUGUUUGUCUCCCCUCCUGUAGGUUCUUGAUGCUACCAGCAAUGAAGCAUGGGGUCCUCAUGGAUUACUUCUUGCAGAUAUUGCUCGGGCAUCCAGAAACUAGUAAGUUUUGAACACUUCAUUUUCUGGUUGAUAUUGUAUGUUUUCUUAAGAAGUGCCUCAUUUUUUAGCUCCCUUGCAGUCAUGAAUACCAAAUGAUCAUGGCAGUAAUCUGGAAGCGGAUUAAUGACACUGGCAAGAAUUGGCGCCAUGUCUACAAGGUUUUCCUAAAGCCAUUUUAUGUUUUAGUUGCUGUUAUUCCUAAGUUCUGUUAAUCUUAUUUCCUUUUUUUACUGCCAUAUUCCUCUUUAGUCCCCUUCAGCACUUCAAUGCGCUCAAUAGAUGAAGUAAACCAUUUAUGAAAUUUGUCAUAAUACACCGUUAAAAUCAUGAUGGGUUCUUGCCAUUUGAGAAUGCUUCUACAUCAUUUGCAUCUACUGCUGAUCAUACUCAUAGAAUUGAAUAGUGGUUUUGUUUAUAUAUUGGCUGUUCAUUAACAGGCUUUGACGGUACUAGAGUAUUUGGUGGGCCAUGGGUCAGAGCGAGUCAUAGAGGAGAUUAAAGAACAUGCCUAUCAAAUAUCGGUAAUUUCCAUUUUGUCAUACAGGUCUCUAGUACUGUUGAAAUGAUCUAAAAGUUAGAAUGCAACUUUAUAAUAUUGCAAAUUCUAUGUGAGCAGACAUUGUCCAAUUUUCAAUAUGUGGAUUCCAGUGGAAGAGACCAGGGAAACAAUGUCAGGAAGAAAUCGCAGAGUCUUGUUAUCCUUGUGAAUGAUAAAGAAAGAAUCAUAGAGGUUAGGCAGAAGGCUGCUGCUAACAGGGACAAGUAAUUCUCAUCUGAAUAACCGUGUUUUUUUUAAUAUUUGAACUUUGUUACUUACCCCCUUAUUUAGGAAGCAUUGGGCACUGUUAAGUACAUAUUUUCUCUCUCCCGAGUCCUAUGAUAUUCAUAAUCAGUGUUUGAAUUUCUUGUGUUUCUAGACUAUAUACCUAACAUAACAGUGUAGAAUGCUACAUAUGUAAGUGUGCAUGCUAGUUUCUCAAUUUGGAGGAGAUAUGUAAUUGCCCUAUAUGAUUCACCAGGUUCCGCAACAACUCAGCAGGUGGAAUGCCCAGACCUGGUGAUAGAUUUGAUGAUGAUCGAUACGGAAGCAGAGAAGAAGAUAGAAGUGGUUCUGGUUAUGGCAGAGAAAGAGAAUGGGGCUCUAGAGAUGGUGAUCAGUAUAGUCGUGAGGGAGACCGUUAUGGCAGAGAUUAUGAAGAACGCUCUAGCAGAGAUGGCUACAGGGAUGAUGAGUACAGCGGAAGAAAUCAAAGUGUUGAUGAUUACCAAUAUGGCUCAAGAGGCAGAAGUUCUGAUGGUGAUCAUGAUCGUGGUUAUGAUGAUGAUGUUCAACGUUCAUCUCGGUAUAAGUUUAUAUCCGAAUAAGACAAUUUUUGAUAAAUUAUUUUUUCUCAUAACCUGAAGUAGCUUAACAAUGAAAUUAUAAAUAGUAAUUUAGUUUUGGAUUAUAGCUUUCUUGUUACUGUAUGCAUUUUAUGUUAGUGCUUCAACCUGCUGGCUUUUGUAGGUUUUUCAAUCUUCACCAGUUAACUUUGGGUAGCUUCAUUUUGAAGGGGAAAUAAAAGCCUAUAUCUUUAACCAUUCAAAACCAGUCUUGUUUAAUCUGUAUAUGAUGGAAUAAAUUGUACGAUUGUUAAUGUUCUCAUGUCAUUACUUUGCCCUUGCUUAAAUUGUUCGUGUUGACUCUAAAAUAUAGAGGUCCAAUGUGAGUUGGGUCUGUGAGCCAACCUAUCUCACCAUGGGUUCGAGCCAGUUUGGAUUGAUUUUUUUUCCAGGGCGGCAUCUAGCCGACUCACUUGCCUGAUGUAAAGGACACGGGUAUUCUUGUUUGAGGCCAUUCUGUGGCGUUACUGAUUAAUGAAGUUCACUUGAGGAUAUGAUACCAUAUUUUUUAAUUUGCCAUCUCAUUAUCAUUAAAACAUGUGAUUUACAUGAUCUUAUGGUUGUUAUGUACCUUAUUCAUGCUACUAUCUAUUGCUAUGAAAUGUGUCAGAGGUAGCAGUGCUAAAGCUGAAGACCGUUCGCUGGAAGGAAGGUAAACUAUCCAUUUAGAUGCUCUGUCUCUCACUCGCUUGCUAUCAUAUCAUGUGCUUCCAAUCAUUAUUUAGAUUGACCUUAUGCUAUACAAUAAACAGGCUAGAACAGAAACUUCAAGAGCAAAAUGUGGACGCUCCUCCUAGUUAUGAAGAAGUUGUUGGUGAAUCUCGAAGCCCUAUACACAAUGAGAGGUAUGAACUUUAUGAUGUGGACAUCACUAUUCAGAAAAGGAAUCUGAUACUAAUAUUAUAUUGAUCUCAGGGAUGGAGAAACUUCAGCAGCAUCUGCUCCAAAAGGCUCUUCUCCUGUAAGUGAUAAUACACAUCAACCGCGUGCUCCUACAGGAUCUUCUCCUCAUAUGAAGGAUGAUCCAACCAAAGCAACAGCUGCUGCCACAACCACUACAUCUGAAAACCAGAAAGUUGAGGCUUUUGAUGAAUUUGAUCCCCGUGGUCCUCCAUCAGGUGUGAAAAGUUCUUUACAGAAUGCAGUUAUGUUGAUCCUCGAUAUGCAUGCAACAGUUCCUGAUUGUUUCUUGUUUUGAGAGAGUUGGAAUAUUCUUUUAUAUUUGCUAUUAUGAACAUAUUAUAUUCUUAUUCAGCAUAUAGUCGAUACCAGACAUAACCCUUAAUCUGACUCUGGUUUGAUGAAUAUCAAUGACAUGACACUAAUUGAGAUUUUGAUUAAGUUUUAAACGGUAUCCUUUUGGGGUUUUAGUUUAUUAUUAUUGAUGAUCUCAAAGAGCUGAUAUCAAUGCUUUAAUGCUAUUUUCUUUGCAAUUAACAUUUGUUAGGCUAAUAUGCUGACAAUAUCUUGAUGUUUCUUCUUAGCUGCCCCAGCCACUGCUAAUAAUGCUGAAAUAGACUUAUUCGGCUCCCUAUCAGAGCCAUUUGCUUUAAAUUCGUUGGCUUUAGUGCCUUCUUCACAAGCAACAACAACACCUGAAGGCAAUGUAAACCUGGACUCAACAGCUUCCUUUGCAGCAGCACCAUCCACAUCCAACAAUUUCAAUAAGGUAGGAAUUUGUUUGAUUGUUUCUACCUUCUAGUGUAACAAAUUAUUUGAGUCCACACACACACACAGUAAUAUUAAGAAUGGAUUUGUUUGAUACUUGGAUUGCUUUUCAUUUUUACCUUGUUUCCUUGUCCUGUAAUUUCUGAUUUUGCAUGUUUAACUGUAAAACAAGUAGGUGGAUCAGUUCUUGCUAAGAAAUGUAAGCAUAAUCAUUACCGUCACUUUUGUUUGUGGACCACAACGAAUAUGUGGAAUUCUGAAAAUUGGGAAGUGCUGUGUUUCUCUUUUUGUUCAUGCUUGCUGAAAUAAUGUUAAUUUGUUUUUUGGCAGUCUUUCGAAGAUCCAUUUGGUGACACACCAUUUAAGGCCAGUCCUUCCGCCGAAACUGCUCCAUCUCAACCCCAGACACAUCAGAGUCUUGAACCAUCCCAGUCAAGUGGUCCUAAUGUAGAAGCAGUCUCUAACUUUGGAUUUGGAGAGUCAUUUUCUAUUGUACCAUACUCUACAUCUGGUGCCAAUGGCACCCAGCCUUUCUCAACAAACUCGGUGUUUUUACCUCAAGAUUUUUCUACUCCACCACAGGAAACUGAUAUUCUUGCAGACAUUCUCCCUCUUGCACCAUUACCUUCACAGCAGAGUUCAGCUCCUCCUGAUUCACACUCUUCACCUUCCUUUUCAGAUCCAUUUGGGCAAACGGCAUCACAUUCUUCUUUUGUACAGUCUGGCCAACUUACACAGCAAGGUUUCUCAGCCCCAGCCAGUCAACCUGCACCACACGCCUUUUCAGUUCCCAGCAGCCAAUAUGCUCAGCAGGUCUUUUCAGCUCCUAGUGGCCAACCGGUACAACCAUCUUUUUUGUCUCCCACCGGUCAACAUGCACAGCAACCCUUUUCAGCUCAUGCCGGUCAACCUGGACAGCAAUCCUUUUCAGCUCAUGCCGGUCAACCUGGACAGCAAUCCUUUUCAGCUCAUGCCGGUCAACCUGGACAGCAAUCCUUUUCAGCACCUCCAAGUGGCCAACCAGUGCAACCACCUUUUGUAUCUCCCACCAGCCGACAUGUACAGCAACCCUUUUCAGCUCAUGGUGGUCAACCUGGACUGCAACCCUUCUCAGCUCAUGCCGGUCAACCUGGACAGCUGCCAUUUUCAGCUCAUGCUGGUCAACCUGGACAGCAGCCCUUUUCAGCUUAUGCUGGUCAGCCUGCACAGUCAAGUGGACAUAUGUAUGGUGGAUUCCACUCUCGGGCUGGAUCUCUGACUCCAGGAGCUUCAGGCAUGUUUCUGCCACAAGGAUCUACGUCUAUUUCUUCACACACGGCUCCCCGAGCUCCAACGGGGCAUCCGUCACAGAAUGCAAACUAUUUUCCACAGCAAGGAGGAUUUACUGGUCAUGGUACUUCCCCUUUGGCUUCCCAGUCUGCAACUGGUCAAGCAUCACAAGGGAAUGCACCUCCCUCUACCCAUCAACUAUCACCAUUUGGUGGAUCAAGUUCUAUGGUUUCUCAAUCUUCCAAUAACAAGUUUGAGACAAAAUCAACAGUUUGGAAUGAUACACUAAGCAGGGGACUAGUUAAUUUGAAUAUAUCUGGCGGUGGGUGCUUAUACCUUCUCAAACCCACCCUACUGUUUUUAACAUUUCAGUUUCCAUAGCGAAGCUUUAGUUAGAUUGUUGAUCUUAUAUUUCCAUAUGUGCAGCUAAAAUAAACCCAUUAGCAGAUAUUGGAAUUGAUUUUGAUGCCAUCAAUAGGAAGGAAAAGAGGAUGGAGAAGCCGACCACGACAGCUGUAACAUCAACUGUAACCAUGGGUAAAGCCAUGGGAUCUGGCUCAGGUAUAGGCCGGGCUGGUGCUGGUGCUCUCAGACCUUCACCAAACCCAAUGGGUAUGCAAAGCUAUGGAGGUAUGAAUGUACCAAUGGGUAUGGGGCAAGGACUCCAGAUGCAACCACCUCGUGGGCCCAACAUUAACCUACCAGGUAAUUAUAAUAACUCCAUGAUGGGAACAGGACCAGGUGGUUAUCCUCAACAACAGCAGCCUUAUGGUGGUGGCGGCGGCCACCGAUGAGAUUGAUCCUUAUACGUAGAUAGCAAUUUGAAGCGUAUCAGAUUGUGCAUUGUACUUAGAUAGCAAGGUAAGUUGAGUUAUAUGAGUGAUGGCAUGUGCUACCACUCCAAGUAAAUACACGAAUUUUCGACCUGCUAGUGUGAUGUAUGCUUAUUCUUGUGUUUCAUAAAUAAUUUCCAUUUUUAGGUCACGUUUCUAUAGGUGCUUUGUGGCAUAAGUGAGUGUGGUGCACCAGUGACUGCAUAGAAUAACCAUGGAUUGGGUUAUUGCCUUUUUAGUGUAUUUUUCAUCUAUAUUUUCAACACCAACCAGGGAUGUAAUUUGAUUUAUUCCUUUUCCAUUGUGUUUUUCUUUUCAUCUAUCAAUGUUUAGGAGUUUUAUGUAGUUGAUUUCCUGCUUAAGAUAUGUGAUAAGUAGGUACAUAAUAUCACUCGAAUACAAGUCAUCAAUCUUACCGACGCUCGUACCCAUAUCCAUGCUACGAAGGAAGAUUGAUUUAUUUCAAAACUCGUCAAAUAAAAGAGUCCCUCAAAUUUCUAACUACAACUAUUUUCAAUCUUCAAAUAAUAGGGCAUGAACAAAAACACCAUCUACAUGAAUUGGAGGAAAUCAAAUUAAAAGGUGUGCUGGUUUUUUAGCCUUGGAGAAGCUGUGAAAAAAGUAGAAUUUGGAGUAACAUAUGCAUUUUUUGAGGAGGAUUCUUCCUCCUGAUUACUUCACUUCUUCUAUGCACCUAUACUCUAGGCCCACUUUCUUAAGCUACCUAAGUUUUUGAGCUUCUAGCCCCAAUUCCUUUACUAUUAAUUUGUGAGUUGGUUUCUCUUGUCAUCUUUAGUUAAAGCAAGUGGUUGCUCUUAACGGAAUAAGAACAUUCGUAUUCUGUUUUUCACUGUGUCAUUCUUAUUUUCUAAUUUUUGUUUUUAAAUAAGAACAAGUUUUGGUUGUUUUUAGCCGAUGGAAGGUGACGAGAGAGGUAAAUGUUGCAGGGAAAAAGUAAAUGUCGUAGGACCCAAAUAAGAAUAAGAAUAAUGUUUAUUAUUAUGAGAAAAAAAAUAUAUGUUGUUCUUAUUUUAUAGGGAGUUGUAAUAAAUUAUAAAAUAAUAUAUGAGCCCAAAUAAGAAUGAAAUUGUUGUUCUCCAUUGUAAAUGCUAUUAGAAGGGUAAUAUCAAAUAAGAUCAGCUAACACUCUUGCUCUACUUAAGCAUGCAAAGGAAGCAUCGUUCGGCCCUUGGAACAUGUAGAUAAGUCUAUUCAAAAGCAGUUUUAUAACCCUUUUGGGCCAUGUUAUAUAUAUUAUAUUUUAGUAUUCUCUUUUUCCAAGCUUUUCAAUUUUUUUUUUUAAAGUUUUUCGUAAAAAUAAAUUAUAAAAAAUGAGACAAAUGUCUAGAAAGUCAAUUUAGGAUGUGGGCUAGUCAACUAAAUAUCGAAACCAAUAAAAAAUAAUUUUAAGUUGGAUAUCUUGGAUAAAAUAUUAGAUAAGUGUUGGACUAGAUUUUUGGUCUCAAAUUGAUAUAAUUUUCUUAAUACAUGGUGGGGUAAGAUUUGAAUAAUGUCAUCAUGUUUGAAGUUGGAUUUUAGAAUAUUUUUUAUAUAACUAAGAGUAUCUUUUAUCCUAUAUAAGGAAUAAAAUUAAUCUAUUUCAAGUUACAUGAAUGCCUAUUCUAAUAAGAGUCACUCCCAUGAAUUGAUCUUUUAACUUAUUUAUGAUAGUGAAUUUAACGAAUGUAGCGUAAGAGGUUGUGGGUUUGAGUCCCAAAAUGGGAGUUAUAAGGUGGUUAUGGUGAAGGAGAUCGAAGGUAAAGUAUCAUCCACGACAAAAUACUAACGUGCUAACAACUAAUAUACUCACAAUUUGCUGAUUUUAAAAAUGGACACAUUCAUAAAUUAACUCCUUGUUACUUUUUUGGUAGUUAGAUUUUAGUUUUUUGUGGGGAACGAGUAAGUGAGAAAAUUUAACAAGAGGUAGAUAUAAAAUUGAGUGAAUUUUUGUUUAACAAGUACAUAUUUUUUGAUUUUCCACAUAUAUUUUAACUACCAGAGGUAAUCUUGUCCGAGUCGGAAAUAAUAAAACAGGAAAAAAGAAAAAAAGAUGUGAAUUGAGAGUGGCAUGAAUAUACACAUGUGUCACCACCUCACAUUCCAAUUCCAAUCUAUUACCAUAUAUCAUAGGAUACGCGUACAAACCUUAUUCUCUUUGCAAAAUUGUAAGUAACCCUAGAUUAGGGUUUGUUCAUCCCCUUUCAUUCUCAAUUUCGCCGUCACCGUAACUAUGGAUCGAAAGAGGGGAAUACAUGCUCCUUCUUCUGCUUUCAAUGCUAAUGGCUCCGCCAAGAAACCUCGCCAAGGUUCAUCUUUUCUUCAAUUUCUUUUAAAGUUUUUUUCCUCUGUUUUCUGCUAUGAUAUUUGCUUUUGUACUAUUUAUACUCAUAUUAACUCUUAUAAUUAAUGGCCGAGCCACAAGGUUAACGAGAUCUUGUUUAAAACGCUAAAAUCACACAUCAAACUCUUUCGAUUUUUCCCCUUCUCUUUUAUCAAUAUUUCACAUCUUUAUCACGAUGAUGUGUAUUUGGUUUAGAUACGAAAACAAUUUAAAUCUUAAUGUCAAAAUUUCCAGAUUUAAAAUUUCAGUGUUUUUCCACUCAAAUAUAGGUGUAGAAAACAACUUAUGUGUCGUGAAACAUAUUCCUCCUCUUAAGAGUAUCGAUUUGGAGGAAUGUGAACCAAACACACUCUUAAUUGAAAUACCGCUUAAACAGUAAGAAGAAAUGGUUAUUGGAUGCUAUUUAAGUUGAAGCAUAAAAAGUCAAUGGAAUUUUAACUAAGCGGACUUAAAUUAAUGUUCUGUAACAGAAAUGGAGUCCUUUACAACUGGUAUAGGAAGCAAAUCGAAGCCAUGCACAAAGUUUUUCAGGUUCAAAUCUUUAACUUGUCUAAAAUUAAAUCCAAAUGCAAUUCAGUAUAUGUAUAAAUUUUCGAAUGUUCCAGUAAAAUUUUGGUACACAAUCUAUGCAACCACAAUCCCUAUGAUUUCACUAAUGAAUUAUUGGGUAGUUAAAGCUGUGAUACAGGUUCUACUUCUAAUCAUGAUAACAAGACUAUGAACAGAAUUUGUUGAUUCUCAAGAUCACUUUGCUUAAGUGCUUUUUGGGCUAUAUAUAAAUUGAAAGCAGUUCUACGGAACACAAAACUUGACCUGCAUAUAAUGGUUGUAUACAAUUUUUGCAACUAAAGAAGUCUGGUGCAGAUCACUGAAAUGGAUAGAGCUGUACAUGGCCUAUCUAUACAACAAAAAAUAACUGGAUUGAUGCUUGGAAGCAUACAUUACAUACUUCAUUAUGGGUUUUGGUUUCAAAUCUUUAAAUUAUUUGACGUUCAAAACAUAUCCAUGAUAUAAUGAUGAUAAUUUGAUGCCUGUGACUGUACUACUUAUCUCUUAUGUGUUGCUAAUAUGUUUGUUAUUUUAUAUUGUGAGUAUUUUUUGUUCCUUUACUUGAGGAUUGCUAUUUACUGCUAAAUGUCUUCAGUUGAGGAUAAACUCUAGCUUGGAGAGUAACAUGACAUCUAUUAAAAGAGAUCAAACACCAAAGAAAACUACAAGUGAAAUACAAAGCAUUAAUCUUAGGAAGAGUAUACUGAAAAUAAUCAACUAUCUGUAUGAGAAAUCGAAUUUUUUGUGUGUAACUAAUUAUUGCUGAUUGAAAGCAUGUUGCACAGAUUUGUGUAACCUUUUGGAUUGUUUUUCUUACAUGUAUAUUUCUAUGAUCCUUCUAUUGACUUUUAGAAAUUUAUUUUGUUAAAAAGAUGGUAGGAUCUUGGGAGCUUCGUUCAGAUCAUAUGAUUUGAUUGUUGGGUCAUCUUGAUUGGUUCCAACUAGUUAGUAGAAUAUAGAGUUUGACAUCCUUCCCCUGCUUGUCAAAAGAAUUUAAAACUGAGCAAACCUUUGCUAUGUUCAUGCUGACACUUAUGUUGAUCAUUUGCAAAAUUUUCACCCUUCUAUGUAUGUAUGACCUCUGAUUGAUGAAGGCUGCUUACUAUAUAUUUUUAGUUUAACCAUGGAAGUACUUCUUUAUCCAUACAUAUUCUGUUUUUUAUUUUCUUUAAUGUUGUCACUUUUUUAUUACUUUGUUUGUGUUUGUAUACUUGUACACUAUGUGAAUGCUUGUUUAUGUUACGUCUCUUGCUACCGGAGGUCCUAGAUGCUAUGAAAAUUCUGAAUACUCCAUUGCCUUUCUUUCUAAGUUAGAAAAAGAAGACAUAUUAAAACUCUAGAAAUAAGGAACAUGACUAUGACUUGGGAAAAUGGGAUAAGAAGAUACUUGUGCUAUAUGGAUUCUCUGUAUAUUAUAUUUUGUUAAUGUGUAUCUUUAAUGUUCACUUAUUUAAUAGUUAAGCUGUGGGAAUCAGGAACUGUAGUGUUAACAUUUGUAGGCUGUCAUGUUUUCUUUUAGUUUUUUGAAAAACCAUAUGGUUUCUAUAUUAUUUGAUUAGAGGUUGCUUGGUGCAUCUUGUGAAUUCGAUGUUCCAUGCUAGAAUCUGUUGCAUAUGAUCAUCACUGUAGUUGCUGGUUAAUGCUAUUAAGGGACUUACAUCAUUGCUUUUUCUGGGUUUUAAAAUUUGGUUCAUAAAUAGUUCUUUUAGAUUUACUUCUAUGGUCGUGACAGGCUUUGAUAUUUGUCAUGCCCCUUGUUGUACUUGGAGUCACUUGUAUUUAUCCAUUUAAUCUAUGUUGUAUCUACCUGAUUAUCAUGCAACCAUGCUGUAUUCUUUCACUUUGUAAUAAGGAUGCUUUAAACUUUCAAGACUGUUAUCUUAUUUGUGAUGCAUUAUCUGGGUGUGGCUUUCUUUCCUUCUAUAUUAUGCUAUGCUAAAUUUAAUGCAACCAUGCAGUACUUAUUUAUUUAUUUUGGAGGGCCGGAGGGGGUUCAAGUUUCCGUUCAUACUUGAAAAACUAGACUGUCAUUUUACUGAGGUCCAUUAUAAUUUUGCUAAUGUUAUUAGAUGUUCAUAUGUUAGUUUGAUGUCAUCUGUUUUCAUAUAUUAUGCAGUACCUCUGGCUGUCCAUUUGGUGAGGGAUGUCAUUUCCUGCAUUAUGUUCCCGGUGGCUUCAAAGCUGUCUCUCAGGUGAUGAACGUUGGUAGCAGUCCUGCUAUUCAACAAGGUGGCAGAAAUCAAACGGCUCCACCUUCCUUCCCCGAUGGGUCUUCUCCUCCAGCUGUUAAAAACCGGUUGUGCAGCAAGUAUAAUUCUGCUGGAGGUUGCAAAUUUGGUGACAAAUGUCACUUUGCCCAUGGUGAGUGGGAGCUUGGCAAACCUACAGCCCCAUCAUAUGAAGAUCCUCGUGGCUUUGGACAAAUGCAAAGCAAUAGGAUUGGUGGCCGAUCUGAUCCCCCACAUCCAUCUCAUGGAGCUGCCGCCGGCUUUGGAGCAUCGGCCACUGCUAAGAUUAGUAUCAAUGCAUCUCUAGCUGGAGCUGUCAUUGGAAAAAAUGGUGUCAACUCUAAGCAAAUUUGCCGCAUAACUGGAGCAAAACUUUCUAUUAGGGACCAUGACUCAGAUCCUAACCUUAGGAACAUUGAGCUUGAAGGCAGUUUCGAUCAGAUCAAACAAGCCAGUGGCAUGGUUCAUGAACUUAUUCUAAAUGUCAGUUCUAGUGCCGCUGGACCUCCAAUGAAAAACUUCACUUCACAGAGUCAUUCCCCUGCAAACAACUUCAAGACUAAGAUGUGUGAAAACUUUGCUAAGGGAAAUUGCACAUUUGGGGACAGGUGCCACUUUGCACAUGGACCAAAUGAAUUACGUAAGUCUGGAAUAUGAUGCAUGUUUCUUCAUUCUUGUUCCUUUUAACAUUUGAGGACAAACAAUUAUAAUUUAGCUUGAUUUUAGUGAGGAUUGAAUUGUGCAGGAUUUUCUAGUUUUUUGAAAUUUGUCACAUGGUAACUAAUGGUAAUUCUUACCUUAGCUUCUAAAAUUCAAGCGCCCCUUUCAAAGGUGCAGUCUGCAAUGUUACAAUAGUCAUUUUAAUUUUUUUUGGUACUACCAAGGGUAUCAUGUGACCUUUUUGGGUAAUGAAUUAAUCUAUUUCAGGGUGUGUGGCUGACCCUCGCAAUAAGUAUCGCUCACAAGAAACGAAUUAUUGAUGUUGAUAAUUCUAGGGAUCUAGUUGUGAACAUUUAUGGUGAACAUUUAUUGGAUGUUUCUUCAUAAAACAACUUAUUCAAUAGGUAAUUAAAAAAUAAAGAUAAGAAGAAAGAUAUGUAUAUAUAUCUUUUACUUAUAUGAUAUAAAUUCAAAAAAAAAUUGUUAUAAAAUAUUUUUUAUUUAUUUUGUUCAGUAGAACACAUUACUUCACACAUGAUAUUAAUAACUUAUAACAUUAAAUAUGCAUAGAUUCUAAUAUGUCUAUCAAAGUUCCAACCAUUGCAUCCUUCAUUUAAUAUUUCGUGGGCUUCUUUCAUGCCACAACUUGUAUUAAUUUGUGAUGUUGGUAAUGAUGUGAUAGCACGUAAUAACAAUAGCUUGCCGAGAAGUCUUAAUUAGUGGAGACAAACAAACAAUGCAUAAGAUCUUAAAUUAAUGCAUGUGGUUACUAAACAUAAUGUGAUCUCUCUUGGCUUUCUGGACUUCUGAAAUAGCGAAAUAAUAUUCUCACAUCAAUUUUUUUUAACUAAUUUCAUAUUGAUAAUAAGCAUACAAAUAAUAAAUUAUGGACCAAAUAUAUUAUUCUAUGUGGGCAGAAUGAUUUAUAUUCUAAUUAGUUAAGAGCUUUUAAUAUUUUUCUCAGAGAUGUGUUUUAUAGGACAUAACGUAUGCCUCCCACUUAGAAUUUAAUGGGAUAAUAAAUCAGAUAAGCAGAUAAUAGGAAUUUGUUAAAUGGAUGGUACACAAUGAGUGAACCAUUGUAUUGCAACCUAAAUAUUGGCCAAACAAAAUAUAUGGAGCUGAAGGUUGUGAAUGCUAUUUGGGUAUUAAGCUUAGUUUUGUGACCUGUUGCUAGUGGAUUUACAAUGAAUAACGAUCAUCUCCAUUAAUGAAGAGGUAAGUAGUUGUUUUUACACAUAUUUGUAAUAGUAAAAAUGUGAUUUCAUAGUAAGUAAAUGGAUAAAAAUAUUAUUACAUGUUGUAUUUUUGUGUGUUAUUAUGUAACAGUUAUCUCUCUAUGGAGAAGAUCACCCAUUUACAAUAGUGCAGUAUUAGGCUGUUGGGACCCUAUCUUAUUUAUUAGGCUAUGUUUUUCUUAAUGUGAUGUAAUGUUAUAGAUGAAAAUGACAUACACAUACAAAGUCAAGGACAAAAGUGACACUUUAGUCUUUAUAAACCCCACAUAUACAUAUGGAAAUGGAAUGAUUUAACUAUAGUAUAAAUAGAUAAUUUACUAGGUAUUCAUAAAUCAUUGCAGUGGACUAUAUGAUUAGAGAUAUUUUGUUAUUCAACACACUUAAAUUGGCGAACAAAUUAAAACCUCACAUUUUACCAGACUAAGAACAUAAAAAAUGUGAUAAAUAUGGUUGUAGCUUAUAUGAAUAAUAAAAUCCAGAGUUUUUAAUAUGACACAUUACACAUGUAAGGGUGCUGAUCAAUCUACCUUUUAGAAAAUCUGUAUAAAAUAAGAGAACUUGUAUGGCUACUGUUUCAGAAGAUAGAAUUUAUCAUCUUAGAACAAGUGCAACAUUUUCAGAUUAGUGGAUCCCACAAUAUAGCUGCAUGGCAUUUAUAUAAGAUUAAUCCAUUAAUCUAAAAUCAACUACAAAGAUACCUCUUGUACCAUGCAUCUAUUAAUUUCUCUAGAGUGAACAGUGUAAGAGGUGAUGUAACAUUUUGAUGUGCAAAUAACAUCACUCCUACCUUAGUUUCUGCUAUAUUGGGUGAGUUGAGAGAGAAUGAAGUCACCAUUCUUGGUUCCAUUUGCAGCAUGCAAGUGAACUACUAAGCCAGCCAAGCAAAAAAGCUGAUUAACAAAAAAGUGAUUAUUCCAUAAAAAUGAGUAGCAUGCACAUAAAAUAGGAUGGUGUAGGAAAGAUAUACAUAGGGAACAACAACUUAUAAAGAACUAAGAAAGGUGGUACAGAAGAAAAAGCACUUACAAGUUAAAAUGCAAAGAAUAUUAUGUAUGAAGAUGAAGAAAAGGGUUGAUGAAAGUUGAAUUAUAGCAUGCAAUAUAUAAGGGAACAUUGGGGAGAAAGGCAUAAGGGAUGUCACUUUCUAAUUAAGGUUUAUUAUUGAUAUGGCUUGGCCAAAAGAUAAAUGUUACAUCCAUGUCUCUCAUACUUAUUUAUCAUAUAAUUAGAGUAUAAAAAAUGUUUUGGACUCGACUCAUUUAUAGUAAAAUGGUGAUUAUUGUGAAAUUGUCAUGUAAUAUGUAAGUAAGGGGUUUGAAUAUUUAUCAACUAAAUCUAUGAUUGGGGAGAAUGAGUUGGUGUUAUCCUUAAGGGACUAAGCGAAAAUCUAUAUAAAUGAAUUUUUUUAUUUUAAAAUCUUAAAAUAAUAGAUUUAUAAAUCCAUCUACUUUUAUGUUUUUGGUAUUAACAAGAGUAUUUCAUCAUCUAUGAGCACAAAACUAAUUUAUUUUAGAGUUAUGACUGUCUCUUUCAACAAAUCUUGAGAUCAUCCUGAGAUCUAGAGAUGAAUUCAUGCCUGUCACUUGGGAUUUCUCUUUCCACUUGACAAUAAAUGUUUUUGGUACUAUCAAAAGUAUCUUAUAAGUAAAGAACUAAUCUCUUUUGGAGUUCUUGAUUGUCCCUUCCAAUAAAUGUCGUUGACAAUAAAAAUCGUAAAAACUCAUGAGUGGGGUGGAGACUUGGGAGUUGGGAUUUCUCUUUCAACUUGACAAUGAAUUUGAUAUCUUCUGGUCCUUUUCAAAUUUCAAUUUUCUUCAAAUAUUUGAUAGCCACACUUCAAUCUCACUAUUGUAAGUGUAGUAAAUAAUUUCCUAUUUCAUCAAUUAUGCAUUAGAACUUUCAUUCACCUUAUUAUUCACAACCAUGAAGUUAUGUCUAAUCACAUGUAUGAAGACAUGUAUUUUCUUAAUGAAUAUCUAUCUAGCUUUACAAUCAAAUAUGUUGUUUACUUAUAUAAACAUAGGAGAUUCUGUUUAAUAAUGUUGUUUUUUUGAAUAAUGUAAGCAAAAACAUGCACUCAAUACCCAACUUUAACUAGUACCUAUCUAGGAUAUAUAUUUUUUGAAAAAUGAUAUAUUUUCCUACUAGAUGCACAUAUUCACGAGAGAGUAACAUAUAUCAAAAAAUGAUAUUUUAUUUAUUAAUGAUUGAUUUACAAGUAAUAUAUAUAUAUAUAAUUUUUUCGUAGGUAGAAGAAUUUAUAGGAAAAUAUAUCAUUACUCAUAAUUUUUUUACAAUUUCGUAAAGUCAUUUCCACAUACAAAUAAUGCAAACUUUAAAGUUGACAUCUCUUUCUUGGAUUAAUACACAAACCCUUUGCUGAAAAAAUCUAAGAAAAAUAAUUAUACAAGUCAUAUUCAUAUAUAGAUACUAUCAAUUUGGUUGUCACAAAAAUAGUGAGACUCGAGGGAUAUUAUGUCAAUCAACAAUAAUUACGAUUGUUUAAGUGAAAAGACUUUAAAAGUUGGUUUUAAUUUUUAUGUCAAUCAACAAUAACUAAGUUGGUUCUAACAAAUAUUUAAUGCAGUAAAAAGCAUUAGAAUUAUAAUUCUAGGAGAAUGAAUCUCAACAAAUUUAAAUGACACAUUUUCAAUCACAAUGUGCAAAACAACAUUGUGAGCUAAAUAGAUUAAUUAGUUUGGAGAAAAAUAGAUUAUUUGACAUUUGUUAUGCUAAAUUAAGCCAAAGCCACUUCAGAUUUGUUUUCUUCAUAACAUAAUAGAAACCAUUUGAACUUAACUAUGUUGUUAGUUGUUAGUUGUUACUACUACCAAAUUUAGUUAGUAAAAUUAUUACCAUUUUCUACAACAGAUUAUCAUAAUUGCAGGGUUAAUUUCAAUCAUAAAUCAAUAACCAAAGUAAACAACAAUGUAUCUAUCUUAUUCUCUAUCCUUCUCCAUCCAUAUACUGAAUUUUUCAAUUUGAAAGGUAGCAAAAAACAUAGAAAAGUUCUGAAAAAGAGUUAUAUGUUCAUAUGUAUAUGAUUUAAGCAUGAUUUCAAACUCUAGGAUAAAUGGCAGCUAUGAAACUUCAGGUUCUAAUGCUAUCAAUCUUGCAUUUGAUGCGCCGAAACGCGUAAGGCACGAAGAGAAGAGAAUGCAGGGUUUCUAAAGUUCAAAGGUGUUGUGCCUCAGCAAAAUGGGCAUUGGGGUGCACAAAUAUAUGCAAAUCACCACAGAAUCUGGCUAGGGACAUUCAAGUCAGAAAGAGAGGCUGCAAUGGCUUAUGAUAGCGCGACGAUUAAGCUUCGAAGCGGAGAAAGCCACAGAAACUUUCCAUGGAAUGAUCAAUCAGUUCUAGAGCCUCAGUUUCAAAGUCCUUAUAGCACAGAAGCAGUGCUUACCAUGAUAAAAGAUGGAACCUACCCAUCAAAAUUUGCUACUUUUCUUAGGACCCAAACACAAGUUGAUGAAGAAUUUGGUGUUGUUAGUAACAAAAGUAAACAUAUAAGAAUGAAGGGUCAUGAGGAAAACUUGUCCUGCACCUUACUUUUUCAAAAAGAAUUGACACCAAGUGAUGUAGGGAAACUCAAUAGGCUUGUGAUACCAAAAAUACAUGCAGUUACAUAUUUCCCUAAUGUUUUUGGCAUUGCAGAAGCUAAGAAUAAUGAAAUGGAUGUUGAUAUUGAGGUUGUCUUUUAUGACAAGCUCAUGAGAUCAUGGAACUUUAGAUAUUGUUAUUGGAAUAGCAGCCAAAGUUAUGUGUUCACAAGAGGGUGGAACAGGUUUGUGAAGGAUAAGAAAUUAAGGGCUAAAGACAUCAUUGCUUUUUAUGUGUGUGAACCUAUAAACUUGAGAAGAGGGGAAGAAAGUUUUUCAUUGAUAGAUGUAAUAUAUUAUAAUGAAGAUCAUGAGAAAAAGCAAUGUUUUGAAGAGAAGGAAGAUGCAAAAAAAGCUUUAGGGAACAUGUUAAGUUCAAGUGAUGAAGUAGAAGAAAAAGAUGAAGGACAAGAGACCAAGGAUAUAAAGGAUUUUGAUGCACUGCAUUCACCAAAUAAUAGUGCACAGAAAGGUUUGAGGCUCUUUGGUGUUUGUAUCAGCUGAAAAAAUAGUUUAUUAUUCAAUGGUAUAUAAAUCUUUACACCGUCAGUGCAUAGAUAUUACACCCAUGAACAAAUUUCUUUGACACAUGAUAGACCAUGCUUACAUUUUCCUUAACUUUUAUAAUUAUAAAAGCUGUGGCUAAUAAACUAUCUUGAAUCUUAAUUCAGUUUUCAUUUGAUCCAUGGCAUCAUUGUAAAGGAAAAAUUAACUCAUUAUUGAAUGCUUAUAGUUUGUGUUAUAUUAUUUGACUUGUUGAUCAUGUAUAUUAGACUGUUAUUUGUGUAGUAUAGUAUACCCCUUUCUAAUUUCUAAAUGUAAAAAAUUGCAAGCAUUUGUGCUGAUUGAAUGAUAUAAUAUUGUACAUAGGUUUAAAAACAUAAAUAACCAUGUCUUGCAUGCUUAAUUUACAAGUUAAUAUCUCAUGUUCCACAAAAUUGGACCAAGGCCUAGCAGCUACACUACUUAUUUAUAAAAUAGCAAUAGAAAACAUAGCUAUCACAAUGGUUCAAACUCACUAAGGUCAUGAAUGUUGAUAUGAAGGAGCAAAACUCUUUCUUGGUAAAUUUGAACCUUCAAGUACUCUAACACCACCCACAUAAUCAUUCUGCCAUUUCUUCCUGCCGAUUUCUUGAUCCAUUGAUUGCCCUUGUGAAAAGGGAGGAUCUCCAUCUGGUUUAAAGGAAGAGAGUUGAAGGAACAAAGUAAAAUAUGUUAUCGAAUAUGUUUUCCGGUUACUAGAUAGACAGUGAGAUACUAUUGUAUUUCAUCAUCAUAUGCUUGAAUACUAUAGGGAGAAUAUUAAAUAAGAAAACUUGACUCUGGUUGUUGCUGGUUUACUUGCAAUGUCAGAAAAUUAAGAUACAAGAUAAUGUGGUGAAAUUUCAUUUAAUUCCACAUGAACAAAUUUCUAGCAACUUAGUUAUUACCACUUUCACCAUCUGAAACAUCACCAAGCUUGGCAAUUGCAUCGACAAGGGCCUGUUCGUGUUCCUGCAUUUCAAAGGGAGCGGAAGCUCAUCAUGAUUGUAGAAAAUAAAACGAAAAGUAAAUAGUGCAGAUGGGAAUUCAGAGAAAAUGGUUGAUCCUCACUUUCAGCACUUUCUUUGCUUUCUCCAUUUCCACGGGAUCGGGAUGACUGGCGCUAAAAACCCGUUCAACCUGAUUUGGUUCCAUUUCAUUAGAUUAUAUCAAGUAACCAAAUAUGUGUAUCCUUUAGAGAAGUAGCCAAAUCUAACAGUAAUAGAAAUAUUAUAAAAUUCUGUUGCAUAUGCUCAUACCUUCUGGAUAAGGGUAUCUGUGUGGAGUAUCUCUAUAUAACCUGUAGGCUUCUUCCGGCUCCCAUUCUGCGGCAAAAUGAAAUCUUUCUUAGGCUGAGACUUUGUAAUUCCCCGACCCCUUCCAGCAUCUGUAACUGCACCACCACUGGACAUGGACUUCUUCAUCCCUCUACCUGAACCAGACCGACCACCUUUAUGGGGUAUUCUAGGAUCCAGAUCUUCACCUUCCCAACGAAUAUCUUCUGGCGAUAUCUACAAUGACAAACAAAUAGUUACUAACUGAGAUUUUGCCAUUGAGCGAGUGAUAGUUAGUGAGAAGAACACGUACUCUUAGUUGACUCGUACAAGCAAAUUGAUAGAGAAAAAUGAAAAGAAAAGCAAAGAGACACGAAGCCGACAGAUCGGAAAACACUUCAAUAGGAUAAGAAAAUUGAUAUACAAUUUGCACUAAAAAAGAACAAACAUCUGUGAUAAAUAACUGACAGGAGAAACCGGGAUAUUGGUAUUCCAGCAUUGCAAGAAGUGAUGUAAUUUUGCAAGGUAGUGUAUUUUCUUGACUUUAGUGCAUGAUUAAAAUUAAGACACCGUCUAACUGACGGUAACCAAUAAAUGUGAAGAACAGGCUUAUUAACGUUUUGAUAUUACUAUGUUACUGCAAUGUAGCCUGAUCUAUACUUUAGGACGAAUUAUCCUAUAUAUGAUUGAAGUUUAUUUGUUUGCAUCAAUUAUAGAUACUUAUACAAGGGAAAUCACCCACAGUGAUGGCCCAAACCAGCCAAGGAUAUUGACUAUAUGGCAAUACCUUCAUCUACAAAAACAAACUACAUUUAAGACAGACAUAUAAUGUUUAUCUUAUUAAAUUUACAAGAUCUCUCAUGUCCAUUUCAAGGGUUGAGAUUCAACAUAUAAGACAUAGACAUCAUGUUAUAAGUUAGGGAUGUGAAAAAAUAAAGCUCCGGAUAUAUUUGUCAGGCAGAAAAUAAUCCUUACAAAAAAGAGUCACGCUAAAACUAGAUGGCACAUAAUUACCAUUUACCACAGACCGAAGAAUAUUGCAAGAAUUUUACCUCUUUAAGAUUGACCCACUCCCAUGUUUCAUCUACUGAAUUCAUAUCAUAGACCAAAGCAUGUCGUCCCUGCCAAAUAUUUAAUUAGAUUAACUAAGGCCCAUGUUUUAUGAAGUUUCUUGUAGUUGACAAUAACAGUAUAACACACCUCAGCAGGAUUAUAAUCAGUAAUAACAGCUUCAUAGAAGUGAUUGUCAUCAGGCCACCUUGUCCAAACUUUUUUUCCAAUCAACAGAUCAUACGAGGAAGGAGCAGGUCCAUUUGUUGCAAUGGCACCCGAAGAACCCCCUCGAUUAGCAACCUGGCUUCUGCUAGCGACUCCUGCGGAAGGUAACUGUAUGGACUUCAUUGAGGAUGCACUAGUCAAUGUCUUUUUUUUUAUAUAUAUGUUAUUUAAGAAUGGAAAACAAUGAACAGUUGAACACAGAGGAAUCAGUAUCUAGCAUUCAUUUUCAUGAUCUUUCAAUACUGAAACACUUACUGGUUUUGGCUUCUUGGUCUUUGCUCCGGAUGGGAGCCCAUUCCUCAACGCGGAAGAUGUUGGUUGCAUAGGUGGAUGAACUACUGGCGAUGGUGCACCCAAGGAUAAUGAAGCCGCAGAUUGUGAUGUUUUUUGUUUCUUAUGAGACGCUGAAAUGAUCGGGCUGGGUACGUGGUCAUGAACUGUUUGAGCAUUAUUUACGGUGCCAGGAUGGACUCCUCCACCCGCCUUUCUCCACUCCCUAACAAUACAUUUGGUUACACCCAAAUAAAAAAUAAACCAUUUUUCUCAAUAGUACACACAAACUGCUGAACAGAAAAUGACAAGACAUAAUAUGACCUUAUCCUGCGGAUUUUGUCUUCAGAAUUUACUCUGGAUAGAAGUUCUCUGUGUUCUUCAUCCGAUACUCUCAGCUCACUCCUUAGCUCUGUAAUUAAACUUUGUUUUUCCUGAAGUACGUAGGCACAAAAUAAAACUCAAUUGUUGAUCCUAUCCAACAUAUUUUAUCGAAAUUGGAACCAAUGGAUCAAGACAACGGUACCCAAGUAAUUGCAUCAGACUGAGCUUUAAACGCCCUCAACAUAGAGGUGUAUGCUUCUUUCUCAAGGCUGUGGAUCUGGGUUUCCAUCUCAUUCUGCAUUGUAGGAAGUGCACCAGAGCCUACAACUGCUGAUCUUCCAUUUCCAGCAAUACAAUCCGGUCGUUGAAAUCGAUUUUUAUGGGAAGGAGGAAGAUCAUCAUCUGUUCCUGCAUGUGUUUCAGAUAAUGGAAAUUAAUAUGUGUGCAUGACACCUUACACUUUUCUAAUAAGCAAUCACUCAAAGAAAAAACAAAAAAGAAAAGGAAAAAAGGAGAGUGGAGAAAUUAAAAGAUGAUUGAGCCAUGUUAGUAGAAAAGUAAGAAACAAAAGAAUAAAAAGAACAAAAAGCAUGUACUAUCUAUGUUUUGUUUCAAGUCCUGUCCUAUUGUGUCCAAAAGCAGAUCAUAUUAGAUAAUGAACCCUUGCUUUAAAAUCAGAUUGACUAUAAUAGAAUUUAUGUCCUAGAAAGUAAUAAGAUAAAUACUAUAUCAGCAUCAAUCAGGUUCAUUCUAAGAUUUAGGACACAUUCACACAUCAUAUGUGACACUAUACUUCAAAUCUUUUAAGUCAAGACUCAACUAUAAUCAGUGUGUAACAACAAGAAGAAAAAACAGGAUUAUCAAAAAGGAAGGGUAGAAAUAGAAUGAAGUUUUUCAAGUCAGUUGUAUAGUACCUGCAUUACACUGUAAACAAAACUAAAAGAACACAUUUUUUAUCAAGCAAAACAACAUAGGUUAAGAACCAGUCAAGAGUCAACAACAUAUAUUCAAAACAAUUCCUAAUUAGACAUUAACUUAUCAACUUGAUAAAAAAGACCAUGAUCAUAAUCCUAAUCCCCAAAAUUAAACAAACCCAUUCUAGCAAUUAUCUAUUCAAACACAAUGCAAAAUAACAAUUUCCGGAGAGAGAGAAAAAAAUUAAACUUUUAACAAAACAGCAGCAGCCAAAAACAGUUUCUUCAGGAAUAAAGUUGCAAAAGUGCUAUUCUAGUUCAAUGUCACUAUAUAGAGUGACCCUAGUUCAAUUAAUGUAAAAGUAUAAACUAUAAAGUAUACCCAAUUAGAGUAAAAACCCAAUUCACUAUGACCAAAUCACAAACCACAGAGGCAAUGCUCAUAUAGACAUAGAACAACACAACAUAGAAAAUAAAAUAGACAAUAAAAGGAAGAAGAAAAAACAAAUUUUUGGAAUGACCCACCACUGGUAUCAGAGUGAUCAAAAUCCAUUGAGGUCCCCAAGCGUCAAAAUCACAAAAUCAAAGUAUCAAUUUGUUCAAGUCCACGAACUCUUCACCGCAUUUAGGGAUGGGAACAAUUGGAGCCUAAUUUGGACCCAGAGGCUGAAGGAAUAUUUUUUCAAAAUAUGUGUUUGACGUUGGUAGUUUGUUAUUUCUGAUUUAUUUUGAAAUAUUGUUGACAUUCCUUUUAAGAUUGUGACUAAGUUGUUGUUAAUUAUACUAGAUAUACAGAAAAGAUAUGUAAUUUUAUUGCUAAACUCUAAUUAAGAUUUUGAUAAAAGUGUUCUUCUAGUAAUAUAAUGUUAUUCUAAAUUUUCAAAAUGACCCAAAAGGUGAAGGGUUAUCUAAGCCACAAUUGAAAGAGAUUUAUUUCUUAUCCAAAAGAUUGAAGGAAUAUUUUUUUUCAAAAUAUGUGAUUGAUGUUAGUAGUUUGUUAUAUCUGAUUUAUCUUUAAAUAUUGUUGACAUUUUUUUUAAAAUUGUGAUUAAGUUGUUAAUUAUACUAGAUAUACGGAAAACACAUCUAAUCUUAUUGGUAAACUCUAAUUAGGAUUGUGAUUAAAGUGUUGCUAUAGUAGUAUAAUGUUAUUCUAAAUUUUCAAGAUAACCCAAAAGGUGGAGGGUUAUGUAAGCCACAUCUCUAAGAUAUUAGUUUCUUAUCAAAAGAUUGAAGGAAUAUUUUUUCAAAAUAUGUGCUUGAUGUUAAUAGUUUGUUAUUUCUGAUUUAUCUUGAAAUAUUGUUGCUAUUUUUUUUAAGAUUGUGAUUAAGUUGUUGUUAAUUAUACUAGAUAUACAGAAAAGAUAUGUAAUUUUAUUGCUAAACUCUAAUUAAGAUUUUGAUUAAAGUGUUCUUCUAGUAAUAUAAUGUUAUUCUAGAUUUUCAAAAUGACCCAAAAGGUGAAGGGUUACAUAAGCCACAAUUGAAAGAGAUUUUUUUCUUAUCCAAAAGGUUGAAGGAAUAUUCUUUUCAAAAUAUGUGCUUGACAUUAGUAGUUUGUUAUAUCUGAUUUAUCUUGAAAUAUUGUUAACAUUUUUUUUAAGAUUGUGAUUAAGUUGUUGUUAAUUAUACUAGAUAUAUGGAAAACACAUCUAAUCUUAUUGGUAAACUCUAAUUAAAAUUUUGAUUAAAGUGUUGAUCUAGUAGUAUAAUGUUAUUCUAAAUUUUCAAGAUGACCCAAAAGGUGAAGGGUUAUGUAAGUCACGUCUGAAAGAGAUUAUUUUCUUAUCCAAAAGGCUAAAGGAAAUUUUUUUUCAACAUAUAUGUUUGAUGUUAGUAGUUUAUUAUUUUUUAUUUAUCUUGAAAUAUUGUUGACAUUUUUUUUAAGAUUGUGAUUAAUUUGUUGUUAAUAAUACUAGAUAUAUGGAAAACACAUCUAAUUUUAUUGGUAAACUAUAAUUAAGACUGUGGUUAAAGUGUUGAUCUAAUAGUAUAAUGUUAUUCUAAAUUUUCAAGAUGACCCAAAAGGUGAAGGGUUAUGUAAGUCACAUCUGAAAGAGAUUAUUUUCUUAUCUAAAAGCUGAAGGAAUAUUUUUUUUUCAAAAUAUGUGCUUGAUGUUAGUAGUUUGUUAUUUCUAAUUUAUCUUGAAAUAUUGUUGACAUUUUUUUUAAGAUUGUGAUUAAGUUGUUGUUAAUUAUACUGGAUAUACGGAAAACACAUCUAAUCUUAUUGGUAAACUCUAAUUAAGAUUGUGAUUAAAGUAUUGAUCUAGUAGUAUAAUGUUAUUCUAAAUUUUCAAGAUGACCCAAAAGGUAAAGGGUUAUGUAAGCCACAUUUAAAAGAUAUUAUUUUCUUAUCCAAAAGGCUGAAGGAAUAUUUUUCAAUAUAUGUGCUUGAUGUCAGUAGUUUGUUAUUUUUUAUUUAUCUUGAAAUAUUGUUGACAUUUUUUUAAGAUUGUGAUUAAGUUGUUAAUUAUACUAGAUAUACGAAAAAACACAUCUAAUGUUAUUGGUAAACUCUAAUUAAGAUUGUGAUUAAAAUAUUGAUCCAGUGGUAUAACUAUUCUAAAUUUUUAAGAUGACCCAAAAUGUGAAGGGUUAUGUAAGCCACAUUUGAAAGAGAGUAGUUUCUUAUCCAAAAGGCUGAAGGAAUAUUUUUUCAAAACAUGUAGUUGAUGUUAAUAGUUUGUUAUAUCUGAUUUAUCUUGAAAUAUUGUUGACAUUUUUUUUUAAGAUUGUGAUUAAGUUAUUGUUAAUUAUACUAGAUAUACGGAAAACACAUAUAAUCUUAUUGGUAAACUCUAAUUAAGAUUGUGAUUAAAGUGUUGAUCUAGUAGUAUAAUGUUAUUUUAAAUUUUUAAGAUGACCCAAAAGGUGAAGAGUUAUGUAAGUCACGUCUGAAAGAGAUUAUUUUCUCAUCCAAAAGGCUAGGAAUAUUUUUUUCAACAUAUGUGUUUGAUGUUAGUAGUUUGUUAUUUUUGUUUUAUCUUGAAAUAUUGUUGACAUUUUUUUAAGAUUGUGAUUAAUUUGUUGUUAAUUAUACUAGAUAUACGGAAAACACAUCUAAUUUUAUUGGUAAACUCUAAUUAAGAUUGUGGUUAAAGUGUUGAUCUAGUAGUGUAAUGUUAUUCUAAAUUUUCAAGAUGACCCAAAAGGUGAAGGGUUAUGUAAGCCACGUUUAAAUGAUAUUAUUUUCUUAUCCAAAAGGCUGAAGGAAUAUUUUUUCAAUAUAUGUGCUUGAUGUCAGUGGUUUGUUAUUUUUUAUUUAUCUUGAAAUAUUGUUGACAUUUUUUUUUAAGAUUGUGAUUAAGUUGUUGUUAAUUAUACUAGAUAUACGAAAAACACAUCUAAUGUUAUUGGUAAACUCUAAUUAAGAUUGUGAUUAAAAUAUUGAUAUAGUGAUAUAAUGUUAUUCUAAAUUUUUAAGAUGACCCAAAAGGUGAAGGGAUAUGUAAGCCACAUCUGAAAGAGAUUAGUUUUUUAUUCAAAAGGUUGAAGGAAUAUUUUUUCAAAAUACGUGCUUGAUGUUAAUAGUUUGUUAUUUCUGAUUUAUCUUGAAAUAUUGUUAUCAUGUUUUUUAAGAUUGUGAUUAAGUUAAUUAUACUAGAUAUACGGAAAAUACAUCUAAUCUUAUUGGUAAACCUUAAUUAAGAUUGUGAUUAAAGUGUCGAUCUAGUGAUAUAAUGUUAUUCUAAAUUUUCAAGAGGGCCCAAAAGGUAAAGGGUUAUGUAAGUCACAUCUGAAAGAUAUUAGUUUCUUAUUUAAAAGGUAGAUAAAAUACUUUGAGUAGUAUCAAAAAAAACUCUAACCAUAUUUUAAGAGUUAUUCAAUAUGGAUAUGAUGUUUUUUUUGUUAUCAUUAUCAAUAUCAUAUUGAUACUCUCCUUAAUAAUCACUUUGAAAUAUCAUGCACUAAUUAACAAUGUAUAUUGUUUGGAGUGUUACAUAGAUAUGGAAUAUGAGUAUAUUAAAAAUAAUUGUGAACUACUCAUUAUGUUUCCUAUAAUCUUCUCUAUUAUUUCAUGUAAUCAAAUGGGGGUAAUGUAAUAAAAAUUUAUAAAACAUAACUUAAAUUAUAGAUUCAAUACAAUUAGUUUUACUUAACAAAAAAAUAUUAUUACUCCAACAUUAUGACAAAAAAAUUGUUUAGUAAAAAAAAUUUAAUCAUUUUAAAAUUUGCGAGUACAAAUAUCUCAUUGAUUGAACUGGACCCGUUCAACAACAAAUUUUAAAAAUUAUGGCUCCAACUACUUGUGAGUUCAAAAAUACAAAAUUUGACACAACCCAAUGUAAGUAUUAUCAGCAAGCACUAGUGAUUUCGAGUACUCAUUAUAAUCUUUAUGCCUAAACCAAUUUUGAUCAUUAAUAUAUGAUACAAUUUAAUUGUUUUGAUCGGUAUUUUCCCAUCUUAACCAAUUUAAUUGGUUGUCCAAUAUAAUUGGCAUACUAUAUUAAUAUACGAUUGAUUUAUCGAUUAAAGUGAUUGAAACAAUAUUCUUUAUCAUGUUGUACCUCAAUGUUAAAUGUUACUAUAAGUAAACUCUAGACACAAAGAUUACUAGUUAUAGACACAAAAGUUAAUCAUCGAUGGGUUAAUGAUUCAUGUUAUACUACUUUCUAAGUAAAGAUUUCAAUUGAUUCUAUAUGGGAAGAACUAAUUUAACCAUAUUAUAAAUGUGCUAAACUUGAAUAAAUUACAUAAUUUUACUACCCAAAAACAUACAAAGUUUAUUAUUCAUUAUCUAAAAUGUCAGGCCCGUGAAAACAUUUAGGAAAAUGUACAUUGUGUCAUAAUCAAAUGGGCAAGAUUUGAAAUGUUUGAACCAAAUGCAUUUUUGUCUGGAUUAUUUUAGUUUUCCAUUGUUAAUUGUAAUUCUAUAUUUUUAUUACUUUUUUUGGGUGUAAAGUGUAAACCAUUCAAUUGGACACCAGAAGAACUAGGUGAUAAAGUUCUUCAAUUUUUUAAUUAAGAUAUUACUCCAUCUUAUUACCAAUAUAUUUAGGAUUUAAUAUGUGUACAUUAACGGUGUAAGUGAUUUUUACACCGUCAGUAAAUUUCCACCAUUCAUUUGUUUGCUAGUAUUGACUUUCAAGCAAAAGUAUUAUAAAUCAAUUGUAGAUGAUGUGCUGAAAAUGUAAAAACCUUUACACUAUCAGUACAUAGAUUUUAAACUCAUAUAUUUAUAACUCAUUCAUAUAGUCACUAGAAUUACUGACCAAAAAUUAAUUUAAUUAUAUAAAGUCUUUAUUAAAUUUGAUUUCUAUGAAUGACAUUUCUUAAAAGUAAAACAAUACUUAUUAAAAGAGACAAUGUAUAUAACUCGUAGAUAUAUUAUUAUUCAUAAGGGAGUGUUAUUAUCUUCCAAGGAUAUGGGGUAUGAAUAUUAUUGAUACGUGUAGAAUAGUGGGGGAGGUUCAACAUAACUCCCAACCCAAACCGAAACAGAGAGAAAGAGAAAAAAAUGGUAAGGCUGACGCCGAGCCUCAGCCUCGGUCACACUCAUUUCUCUCCCAUAACCGUCUCUUCCUUCUUCUUCUCAUCUCUCCGUACGAAAUUCCAUUUCUACCCUCCGAUUCAUCACAGAGCCAUGUCCAUGGAUUCUCAAAGCUUCUCUUCUUCCAUUGACUCCGUAACUCAGCACCUUCAGAAUCACACUCUUCAAACUCAUAGUCAUGCUUCUCGCUCGAAGCUUGAAGAUCUCAAUUGGGACAAUUCCUUCGUUAGAACUUUGCCAGCUGAUCCUAGAACCGAUUCAUUGCCGAGACAGGUCUCUCACUAGUUAUUGCUUUGGAUCUUGUAAUUUUUUUGUUGAAUUUGAGUUUGUCAUGUGUUUUUCAGAGUGUGGUGGUGAAUGGAAAUGAAAUUAGGGUUUGGAUUUGUUGUUUUGAUAGUUUGAGGAUGCGAAAUUAAAUUUCUAUUGUAAUUUCCAUCAUUUCAGGUGUUGCAUGCUUGUUAUACCAAAGUAUCUCCAUCAGUUGAAGUAGAUAAUCCUCAACUUGUAGCGUGGUCGGAAUCCGUUGCUGACUUGUUUGAUUUGGAUCAUAAAGAGUGAGUGUGUUAUUUGUCAUGUUCAAUGAUGGAUGUACAUUAGUGUUAACAUAAGUGGUUUCUAUUUUCCAAAUGCUUAUAGUUCAUUGGUUCUUAGCAACAAUUGCAUACCAUAUUUGGUCUAAAAUUCUGUUGCAAACAAAAUUAAUUCAAUGAGUAUAUUUCUAAGUUUAUAUAUUGUUGCAUGGAGUGAAAAUAGAUACACUAUAAUUUCUUCAUAGAAGUGUGGCUAAGAAUAUUGAAAAUUGAAGUACUAACUACAAAAUUGGAAUUUGAGUGUGAUGAACUAAUAUAUGAGAGGGGUUGGGACUUAAGGGGGAUAUCUGAUAAUUAGAAUUGGAGUGGGAUGGCCUUGGCAACUAUGGACUACUAGGUAGAAAUUCUGGAAGACAAGCGAAAUGCGUGGAAUAAUAUCCCCGAGUGAAAAAUAUGUGGUGCGUCUCAUUUUACACACAACUGACCCAUUUAUGGGCAUAUUAGUAAAUAGCAAGCAACUUUGUUCUGUAUCACUUCAUCUCUCUCACUUUCCCUCAUAUUGAUAAAGUGUAUCAGUUUCUCUCUAGUUAAAAGGGAAACUCAUUGAUGAGUUUUUAGGUUGAUCUUGAAAAUCUCAAAUCUAUUUGAAAUGAUGCCUGGAAUCUAAAAUUACAUGAAAUCUUUGUGCUCUUUGGUGAUGUAGGGGCCAUAUUGCUAGGGCUUAACUGCUAUUUUCUGAUAGUCAUGUGCAUUAUUAGAACAGCUAUUUUUUUAUGAUUUUUAGUACUUGUGUUUAAACUUUUAAGUUUAUACUUCGGAUGACCUGAUCAGUAAUUUUUGUUUCCAUCUCUCUGUUAACAUAAAACCUCACGCGCAGGUCUGUGUCUGGCAAGGUUCACUUCAUUACUAACCAUUUUUGCGUUGAGUUUCAGAUUUGAAAGGCCAGAUUUUCCCCUUAUCUUCUCAGGUGCAUCACCUCCGGUUGGAGCGUAAGUGUUGUACAUAUAUGUCAACAGAUUUUUAGGCUGGUUAAUAAUGCUAAAUUAGACAUGAUUGAGAUUCUGCUAUACAGGUUGCCAUAUGCUCAGUGCUAUGGUGGACAUCAAUUUGGCACGUGGGCUGGGCAGCUAGGUGAUGGUAGGGCAAUUACGCUAGGGGAGAUACUGAAUUCAAAGUCUGAAAGGUGGGAACUGCAACUUAAAGGUGCAGGGAAGACUCCUUAUAGUCGGUUUGCUGAUGGCCUUGCUGUGCUACGAAGCAGCAUCAGGGAGUUCCUUUGUAGUGAAGCAAUGCACCACCUGGGAAUACCAACAACCCGUGCCCUUUGUCUUGUGACCACUGGGAAGCUGGUUUAUCGUGACAUGUUCUAUGAGUAUGAUAAAUGAACUUUCAAUAUUGAUAAAUUUUACUCAAGACAUCUCAGUUUACACUAGCAUUAAUCCCUCUUGCAUUUUGUGGUUGGCUUAAAAUUCCAGUUUCUUCAGAAUAAGAUGAUGAUCAAGUUUUUAUUAUAAAAACUGAGGUUCAAAGAACGAGUGAUAAAGUCGAUCCUUUUUCUCCUAUAUACCAUGUACUAUAUGAAGAAAAUUUUCUGUCUCAGCAUUUUCAGUAUCAGUCUUUCUUGAAAUUCAGGUGCCAUAUUCUACACAUUGUAAUAGUUGAAUUUUUGGCUUUGUUAAUCAAAAAAAGAGGAAAAAACUUACGUCUGUAUUUUAAUUUUGUAUGAUGAAAUCUGGAUGGGUUUAGAUUUUAGAAAAAUUGUAUUCUGCAUAUGUAAAAAUUUAAUAAUAUGAAUAUGAUGUUAUAGUGUCGUUCGAUCCAUGUAGCUGACCUCACCUAGUGGGAUUAAGGCUUGGUUGUUGUUGUUCUUGAUGUUAAUAUCACACAUGCAGUGGCAAUGCAAAGGAAGAACCUGGUGCAAUUGUUUGCAGAGUUGCUCAAUCUUUUCUGCGCUUUGGAUCAUACCAAAUACAUGCCUCCAGAGGUGAUGAGGAUCUAGGUAUUGUUCGUAGUUUGGCUGACUAUGCUAUUAGGCACCACUUUCCUCAAAUUGAGAGCAUUAGUAAGAGUGAAAGCUUAUCUUUCAGCACCAGUGAUGAAGAUCAUUCUGUUGUAGAUCUUACUUCAAACAAGUACGCAGGUAAAAAUACUUUCCUUGGGAGAAUUUAUGGUGCUAGCAUUUUUUUGUAAUCUUUAUUUUAAGGAUUGAUAUUUGGUUGCUUAUUCUGAGUUUUUAUAAUAACAAAUAAGUUAAAACUGUAACUACUGUUUUUUUCGCAAUGGUAUUCUCAGCAUGGGCAGUGGAGGUUGCUGAGCGUACUGCUUCUUUGAUUGCUAGAUGGCAGGGGGUUGGUUUCACUCAUGGUGUCAUGAAUACUGAUAACAUGAGCAUUUUGGGUCUUACCAUUGAUUAUGGUCCAUUUGGCUUUCUGGAUGCUUUCGAUCCUCAUUUUACCCCAAAUACUACAGAUCUUCCAGGUAGAAGAUACUGUUUUUCGAACCAGCCUGACAUUGGUUUAUGGAAUCUUGCCCAGUUCGUGACAACUCUAUUAGCUGCUCAGUUAAUAAACGAAAAAGAGGCUAAUUAUGUUUUGGAAAGGUAGUAGUAACACUUCUGAUAUCUUUACCUUAGAGAAUAAAUAGGUCUGAAUUGCUUUUAAAUGUAUCACUUUAUGGUUGGUUUGUUUCAGAUAUGGAAUGAGAUUUAUGGAUGAUUAUCAAGCUAUAAUGACCAAAAAGCUUGGGCUCCCAAAGUAUAAUAAGCAGCUCAUCAGCAAACUACUUAGUAAUAUGGCUGUUGAUAAAGUUGAUUACACAAACUUCUUUCGUACACUUUCAAAUGUCAAAGCAGACACAAGCAUUCCAGAUGAUGAGUUGUUGGUUCCACUGAAGUCAGUACUGUUAGAUAUGGGUGAGGAGCGUAGGGAAGCAUGGACCAGUUGGUUGAAAGCCUAUAUCCAUGAGGUGAAUUUGUUGUUUUGCUUUUGACUUUCUUUAAUUAAGGCACUUGUAGAAUAGAGCGUUAUGGUGUCGAUGGUCAUGAUUUAUAAUAGAGCGUUAUGGUUCGUUCGAUUCAUAUUUUUGACCCCAACUAGUGGGACUAAGGUUUGGUUGUUGGAAAAUUAACUUGGCAGAGAUGUCUUGUGCUUCUGUAAUCUCACAUCAUUGCUUUGGUGCUAUGCAGCUCUCCACCAGUGACAUUUCUGACGAUCAGAGGAAGACCUCAAUGAAUUUGGUGAAUCCAAAAUAUGUUCUCAGGAACUAUCUCUGCCAAACUGCAAUUGAUGCUGCAGAAAUAGGCGAUUUUGGAGAAGUCCGUAGGUUGCUCAAAUUAGUGGAGCAUCCUUUUGACGAGCAGCCAGGAAUGGAAAAUUACGCUCGCUUGCCCCCAGCUUGGGCAUACAGACCAGGUGUAUGCAUGCUUUCUUGUUCUUCCUGAGUUGCCUGCUUAGGUACUCAAUAUACCAGAAAUAGCAGAAAAGGAUUUUAAAAAAAUUACAAGACACAGAAACUAGGAAUAAAAAAGAGUAUAGCGUAUGUUUUAUUGUAUAUGGUAGUCAUGUAUUUGUUUGUACUAGUAAUGGGUUAUUGUAGCUGCUGCGCAGUUUAAUAACAUGGCUUUCUUUUAUAUUAUUUGUAAUACCAUACAUUGUCCCCAGUGAUAUUUAACAUGAAAAUGAAGUGUGGUACACUUUCAACUUUGCUAGUGGUAGAAAGGUCUCUUUGUAGGUUUCAGCAAGUCUAAGGAUAUUUUGCCCCGAUUUAAGUUCAUGUGGGUGUAAGUUUAAUGCAUGUGAAUGUUGCAUGAUAUAGUGAUCAUCUAAAUAAACUUUACCCUGGGAUAUUUAAACUUAUAUUUGCCUACAAUGUUUGAAAACUUGUGUCAUUAUUUCAGGACUUUAUUUAACCAUGAUAUUGAGUGAGCAAUUGUUUGAACUUUAAAGACAAAAAAAUAAACAGUAGAUAGAUAUAAGAUGAAUUUGAAAACUUUUUUAAGAGGAAAACAUUAUAUUGGUCAUCUAAAAAUGAUCUUAGGUAUUUGAAUGUCUAAAUGUUCAACCUUUAGUCUUUAAAAAGAUUCACAUGAUUAUCAAAUAAGUAGGUUGAUAAAUUUGGUGGCUAUAUUAGCUUUAGGCCUACAAUUUCAACUCUAUUUGGUGGCUAUAUUAGGCUAUUCUGAAAUGUUAAUUCAGUGGGGAUUAUCGUUAACCUAUUAAUAACUUCAACGCCAAAGGAAGAGAAUGAAAAACUAUCUGAAAUUAAUGAACUGAGUUGAUAAUGCCUCUUUUAUUAUAAGAAAAAAUUAUUUGAUCUCCUAUAUUUGUCCCAAAAUGGACUUGUAUAUCAUUGAUUAUCUUUGCAUCAUGAUCAACUUCCAUAAUGCUCAGCUAUCAUUUUCUUGCUUUGCUACAAUCUCACUUUUUCCUUCUGCUUAGUUCCUUUCUUCUUUUCAUUUGAAUAUGACGAAUAUAUUCAGUCACUAUAAUAUGAAGUUUAGGGACCAUUUUACUUGUGGAUGAAACAUUCAUUCUUGUUUUCUUCAAUGUGCUAGAAAUAUGCUUCUGAGCCUUUUGAAAGUGUGCACUGCAGAGAGAUGGAACACUGGAUCUCAAUAUAGGUUUCCCACAUCUUAUUGGUCCAGAUUCUGCACUGAAAACAAAAAAACCAUAUCAGAACAUGUGUUUAAAUUAAUAAAUUGAUUGAAGAAUCUAUAUAAAGCAAGGAAGAUCAGGAAUAAAAUUUAUUUAAUAAUAUAUAAAACUAAAAGAAUGCAGAAAGAAAAAGAUUCCAACUGAAAAUAUUCUAUGAUUAAAUACGAAGUGAUGUUUACGAGUUGGUUUUUGAAGAAGAAAAAAUGAUUGACUUUACCCAAUUUACUUGGAAGAGGCCAAAGAUGUAACCAGUUUCUUUGUGAAAAUCAGCAUGCAAUAAUAUAACACUAGAACUUGUAAAAUGUGCACAUUAAUAAGAGUCUUCUCUGCCUGUUUCUCUCUCCAAAAAUUUCCCAUCAGAAACUUGAAUUUUACAGAAAGACAGUGAUGAUAAGAAUUGAAAACUGAAUGCCUUUCCCUGCCCUCACUUCUGUCCCACAAAGAGGAGAAUAAAAAAAGACUAAGGAGGAAGAAAAUAAUUUUGAGAACAAAAACAAAAGCACAAUUUUUAUGGUCUUUUGAUUAUCCAAAAAAAAUUCUGUUUGCUCAUUUGUAAAGUAAAUUUGUAUCUUACUCUUAAUUUAUUUGAUUAAUUAUAUAAAUAGAAUCAUUAAAUGAUUAAUGACGGAUAUUCGGGAGGAACAAGAUGUAAUGAAUGCGUUCUAGGCGAAUAUAAAUAUUAUACUAAUUAAACAAAUGUCUUAUUCUAGUAUAUUUUGACACAUCUAUCAAACAUUACUUACCCGAAAUAAUACAUGACGCUUAACAUAGCUAUGAUUAGGUUUAGAUGCAAUUAAAUGAUUAAUGACGGAUAUUCGGGAGGAACAAAAUGUAAUGAAUGCAUUCUAAGCGGAUAUAAAUAUUAUACUAAUUAAACAAAUGUUUUAUCCUAGUAUGUUUUGACACAUCUAUCAAAUAUUACUUACCCGAAAUAAUACAUGACACUUAAUAUAGCCAUGAUUAGGUUUAGAUGCAAUCAUAGAACAACAUAAUAUCCAAUGCAACCAGGUGGAAACAUAAAUCAGUAUUUUGUAAAUCAAGCCCCAAAGGCAACAUCAUUAACUGGUAGGGAAACAUUUAAUUUGAUUACAAAUUAAUGUAUUACAAAAAUAUACACAACAUUCUAAAUUAUGAUGUGGCAAUUCUCGCUACAACAUUAAUAGUCUUCACAACAACAUCACAAUUACAAUUACAUCGAUCAUAUUUAAAUGCACCCCACGAAUUAUAACAUGAAACCAUGAAUAUAUACAUGUUGGUAUCAAGUAUCAACAAACAUUUGACAUAGCAAGAUGCAAUAAAAGUACAAUAUCUACAUAAAAGAAAGAAAUAAAAAAGGUAGAAUCAGAAUUAGAAUUAGAAUUAGAGAAUACCAUUUGAUAACAUAAUUGCAAGGCUUGUAAAGUUUCUGGUUAGGAUCAGAGAGAAUAUGCAAAUAACAAAAACUUGUCAAAGGCAUAGCCUUUGAAUCACACCCAACAAAAUCACAUAAAGGACUCUCAUUCUGACCCAAUUCACUACUUUUGUUCUUGUUUUCAGAAACAUCAUUAUCCUCCUUAUAAGGGGUAACACCAUAUUCCAAGAGAUAAUCUCUGUAAUGGGUCUUAAUUUUCUCCAAAAGAGCCCAAUAAAGGUCUCUGUAACACUUGGAAAGUAGUUUGAGGUUAUCAUAACGACGCUUCAGAAGCUCAGAGUGGCUAAGAUGGGAUAAUGAAAGUGCUGGUGAUACUGAACUUUGUUUCAUGGAAAUGGGUUUUGAGUAAUCAUCAUUCAUAACUUCUAUGGAGGUAGAAGAUGAAGAAGGAUUAAGGUUAUUCAAAGUAGAAGAAUAAAUCAUUGCAUUUGCAGAGCGCCGCUGAGAUUGAAAAAACCAAUCUUUCUUUUGUAGCUGUGUGUUACAUAUGAAUAUAAUAUACCUAGUGUCUUGUUUUUUUUGGACCACAUUGGACAUUCCAAACAAAACUUGUCAAAAAUUUAAUAAUUAAGUAUUUCUUGAUCAAUUAUAAUAAAUGAUAGAUACAUUAAUAUAAUUUGUGACACAAAAAAAUGUUUUGGAAAGUAUAUUUUUAAAUUUAUACCCUAACUUUUUUGGAAAGUAUAUUGCUGAUGUAAAAAAAUACAUUACAACAACAUAUAUGUAAGUAAAAAAAUACAUUACAACAAUAUAUAUGUAAGGAUAACAUUUUGGACAGAUAGAUAAUGUAAACAAGAAUAUUCCCUUAAACAUAUUGUUCAACUUUGAUGCUUUUGUUUUGAGAUUUUGAUAAUAAAAUUGUAAUAAUGCAACUGAAUCUGAAACGUAACACUGCUACUAUAUAAAAAGUAGUUAUGAAAUACUAUAAUCAUGUAAUUACCUUUCUGCAUGUAUAUGAUGUUUCAAGAUUGAAAUUGGAGACUCCAGAGUUUCUGGUUUAUAAUAACAAUAAUCUCCUUUCAUGCGUAUUUUUUUCAUGGGGCGGAAGAGUUUAAAAUCUUUGUACUCAGUGUAUAGAUAUUAAAUCCUCUCAUUGAUAAAUAAAUAAUGAGGAUUUAUAAGUGGAUACAUGAUUUCCAAAAACUGUAAUACUUUAUUCAGUUUCCAUAACCAAAAAAUAAAAUAAGUUAUGUGUGUGCAUGGAUUGGAUCAACCUGCAAAUUUACCAGUUUCUGACUUGUCUCUGAUUUGGGUUAGUGGGCUGGCUUAUAUUAUUUUAAUUUUAGAUUAAAAAAGAAAAAAAUGUAUAUAAUAAUAGUGUAAGAUAUUUUUAUACUAGUUGUGCAUCAUUAAUCAUUUAUAUUUAAUUAUCAUUUACUAUUAAAUAAAAAAAAUAAAAAAUGAAUAGUAAAUAAUAUAUUAACUGUAUAUAAAUCUCUCUACACAGUCAGUAUAUAAAUAUUACACUCCUAAAAAAAAUCAAUCUGCACAGAAUAAUUGAGUGCCAUCCGCAGGUAGCCCUUAAAACAUAGGUAUGUUGGGAUCUAUAGUUUUUUUGUCCCUUCCAAAUUUCUGAGGGUAUCAACCUUCUAAAUUAGUUUUUACGCUAACCCAUGCACUAUAUAAGUUUUAUUUUAAAAAUAUAUGUUUAAUGAAGUAGAUAACAAUAAUUUCAAUUAGCAUGAGACAACAAUGAAUAACUUUUGAUAUUUUUUUGAGGUUGGAAAUUUGUUGAAGUCAAUAGAUGAAAAUAUUCUCUCAAAAUAAACUUUAGUGAUCUAGUCAAGUCUAAAAACAUUCCACAUGCAAGUAACCAAAUCCACAAAAUCACAAAAGUGUUUUUGUUUUAGCUUUUAUCCAAAGAAUAAGAAAAAAAUGUAAAUUACGAGGCACUUUUAGAAAAUAAUAAUAAAAUGGUUCUUUUAGAAGGCUAUUGCAUCAUGCAAUUGGUAAAGCAAAUAACAAUCCCACUUAUGUUGAAUUUUCUAAAACAGUUUUUGUUUCGGUAUUAGCAUCUUAACUUGAAAAAAUAUCCUCACCACCACCUAGCAAGGUUUGAACAGUGUAAACAUACACAACCUUCUCCCUAAAGGGAAAAGCUGUUUCUAGGAUCCACUUCAUCAUUUAUUAAAUAUAAAUCUAUUUCUUUAAUAAUGUAGUAAAAUACAUUUUGUUGCCUAGCCAAUUAAUUGUAACAAGUAAUCUUAUUUAUCCAUAUAUAUCGAGAAAAAAGUAUACACUAACAAAGAAGAAUUUUUAUAUUAUUACUGUAUCAUUUUAUUAUUGACUGUUAAAUUUAAGUAAUACAAAUGAAUAAUGAAUAAUAUAAUGACUAUGUUUAAAAUUUAUACUGACAAAUUUGAAAUACAAGUUACCCACCUAAUGUUCAAUUUAAUGGACUUCGGGUAAAAGUUUACAAUCAUCAUUACCACCACAACAUGAUAAAAGAAGUGAAACUAAAUUGGAUUAGCUUAGGACAGUUUAUAGUUUACCGACAAUUUGAAAUUACCAUUUUUUGUUUCUCAUACUUCCAGGGAAUAAAAUAAAAUGAAUUAACAAGAGUUGAUACAACAAGAUCGAGUGCUUAAUAUGCAUACAGAUAUAAUGUACCAUUUCGUUUGUUCCUUACUAGUAAUCUCAUAAUUAAAAUGAAAUACCUAAGUCAUGUAAUAAAUGCAAAUAAUAACACAAUGGAGAUAUAACGGGUUGAAGUAAAUACAACAGAGAACAAAAAUAAUAAUAAUGGGGAAAAGGAGAAACCAAAUGUCAAAACAAAGAAUUAAUGUAACACAAGCAAAUCCACAUUGAUAUGCCAUUUACUAUUGUCUAUCAAAAUUUUCAGUAGCUGAAAAUCCUGGCUUUCUCAACAGCUCCUGUAGUCCAUGCCCCUUUUGUAUAUAGAUAAAUAUAAAUCCCUUUUGUAGAAAGCUAGCUAUCCCAGAAAUGCAGAAAUAACAUUUUAUGUUUGUUGUGACCUUAAAACGUGUGCAAUAUUCUUUGAAAAUUCCUGCAAUUAUAUGAACAAGAUUGAUUCACUAGAUACUAAUGGGACUGUUCAAAGCACUAAAAAACGGGGGAUAAAACAGUUCUAAACCUAAAGAAAGUGGGAUAUUUUGAAUUGACAGAAGUUAAAAUUGUAUUUCUUUUUGCACUAAAUACAAAGGCAUCAGCUUAGGCCAAAAAUAUUAUGAAGUGUAAAGUAUAAACAGAUCCAGGACAGAAGCAAAAAUCAUCCAACAGAUCAAGAAAUUAUGUUAUCCUUAGAAUUAAAAGGAUGAUUAAUUAGGAUUAUGAAGAGGCCAAGAACAAUAAAAAACGGAAGGGAAACGUACUGUAGGUCAAUCUAUUUGGGAAGAAGUGGCAGUCUCUCAUCAAGCCCUAUAUGAUGAGUAGCCUGGAAAAAUGCAUGUAAACAACAAAACAGUAAUUAGUCCAAUGUAUAUAAAAAGCUCUCAAUAAUAAAUCAAGGUGAUGGCAAAUCGGCACCUCUUCAUUUGCUCCAGCCGCCAUGUUUAUAAAGGAGUCCUUUGACCUGGAAUGAACAUAAGGCACUCAUCAUUGCAAAGGAAGAAGGAAAUGAUUUUUCUUAUAAAUAUUUUCGGGUUACGUGGCCAUCUAAAAAUAAGAAAUAUCUAAUGAACCUUUUCAGAAACUGUAAAUUAUGGAAAAGGGACUCUUUUUCCGUCCUUUUUAGAAUAAGCAGGUAGUUGGUAAGCCUUUCAUAUAGUAAUUCAAUAAAAUAUACAAUGGAAAGCAAAAAGAGAAAGCUUAUAAAGUAUAAACUGUAAGGAUUUCUGGAGCCCAAAACUAAUCAUAUCAGUAAAUAGAUUAGCAAGUACCUUUGUUUGUCAUGAAUAUCAUGCAUUUCCAGCACACCAUUCUGCUCAUCUUUGACUUUUGAAAGUGGUGAAAAGAACUGAAGAGAGAAUGAGCACGGUGAUGUAAAAAGAAAAUGUCAUUGGCUGAAUUUGUUUAUAAAAUUAGCGAUUUAUUUCUAAUAUUCUUAAUUACCAAUCAGAAUCUUCAAAAUUCAAUUUACCUGGUGCAUUGAGAUGAAUACAAUAGAAAUGCCUAAAACGAAGUUCAUUGUUAAAGUAUGUCCAAACAUUACAGCAGAUGCUAUGCCCGUAAAGAUUGUUGCAACUGUUGAUGAGUACUUUUUCAAAAUUGUAUCUGCAACACAUUACAUGGGUUAUUGAGAGAAGGUAAGCGACAUCAGACCACAUUAGGGCAAUUUAAAAUAAUUAUACUAGACCUGUAUUUUUUUUAAAAAUAAAUUCAACAAAAGAAUAAAAACACAUCUGAAUUAUUAACCUGCAUAUUUGAAGAAGAAAGAGGAUAAAAUUCCUUGGGCAGCAUUGUUAGCUAUCAAUAGCAUAGUGGCUCUUGAAUGACCUUCAAGGAUAUCAAAACUACUAGGACCUGGAACAUUUAUGGCAGCAUCACAGAAAUCAGUCAACAGUUUGAGCAUCAGAAAAAGCAACACAGUAUAAGCCACACAAGGUUUAAACAAGUUUUAUUAUAAAUAGAUGCCACAAGUAUAUACUAUUGAUUGAAUCAACUAACAGAGUUAAACCAUAAUUUAUUAAACUAUUUAACAAUGUAGGAAACUGUUUAUAUGAAGCGCUUUACGCAUCAUGGCAAAUUGUAUUAAAAUGACUACUUGUUGCCACAUUUACAAUUACACCCAAUGAUGUAUGAAGAAACACAUGAAAAACACAUCCCAAUAAGUACAGUCUGUUCACUGCUUGCCAAUUCCAUCCUAUGUGCUCUAAUUUAAAAUAUGAAUUUGUUGAUAUUAACAAUAUUUAGUUCUUGACUUUGUUAAUCUAAAAUCCAGAGGGUGAGCCUUAGUAUAAUGAUAAGGCUGAUAAUUUGGUGGUCACAGGUUGCAAUCAACCAGAAAUAACUGCUCCACUCAGCAAGCUAAAUUUGUGGCAUCUAAGUGUCUAACAAUCUUCAGGCAGACUCGUCCUGUUUUUUUAGUUUGGGAAAAGAAUGCCAUGUGUCAUGCAUGACUAAACCACUAUAAUUAUCAUAUUGAUCGAUUCGAAAGAGAUCACCAUUGAAAUUCACUGUUUCAGCUUGUGGUGAUGGGUGGGUGGGGGCAGUCUCUUGUUUUAUGAAAAUUUUCUUUGGAUUUGUUUUUAAAUGCUUCACACCAUAUUUGAAAUGCCAACGAUUAUAUAGAAAUUAGAGAUUCAUUUCUCACCUUUGAUGAUAACAGUCACAAGUAUUCCAAGAAAAUUGAAUAUAGCUCCAUACCCAUAUAAGAAUAAGUUCUGUAAAUCAAGAGAUAGAGAAUCAAUAUCUAGAUGAAUUAAAACUAAAUUAGUGAAAGAUUGUAAGUAUUCUGGCACCACUAAACUUGAAAAUAUUUAUUAAUUUCAUUUUUCUUCUUUGUUGUAUUCCAAGAUGCUGACAUGAUUCUUCAAUCUACUUCCGACAGUUACAACCAACAACAACCAAGUCUUAGUCUCACUAAGUGGGGUCGACAAUUGAGCAAUACAUAGUAAUAAAAUCAGAUAAUAAUUCAAUUUGUUGGUUAAAAAAAAUGAAAAGAAGAACUCAAACUAAUUUUUUUUGCAUACUGUCAAGUUAGAGAAUGAAAAGAUAAUCCAUGUUCCACGCAGAGACAACUUUGAAGUCAAAACAUCGUUUUCUUUUUUGACUUAAUAAAACUGCAUUCCAAUUAUGAAAAAAAAUCCAGUGCUCCCUACAUCACCUGGAGAUAAAUGCUUGUAUCAUAUUGGCUCUUCAAGGCAUACUCAUUAUAAACAGAAGCCAAUGAUGGAACAGUGACCUGCAAAAUAACUCCUAGGUCAAAAAUUUGACAAAGAAAGGAAUCUCAAUAAAUAAGUAUAGAAUAGCCAAAAUUACUAUGAAAUGAACUAAUUGCACAAUAAUAUUCAAUAUAUGGUCAAAAGAGCAAAUGGCAAACAUCACUUACGAAGAUCGUAGUAUAGAUAUAUGCAGCCAUUGUGACCGGAAGGCCCAAAGCUGUAGUUCCUUCAGGUAAAGAUCGUAGUUGAUUAACACUUAUACCAAUGAGCAACAAACCAAGAGCUUCCCACUGUAGCAAAAUAAUAAAUCAAACAUCCAAUUAAAUAAGUAGGCGCAAUUGGGAUUUACAUAAGGAUUAUGGCUUACUAAAGUUCAAUAGUAAAUUAUUGCAUGCUAAAGUUCAAUAAUAAAAAUCCAAAUAAUGGCCACAGAGAGCCCCUUCCCUAUGCCUACAGGCAAGUAAGAGCUUAAUGCACUAACCUGAAUAAUAGAAAACCGACGCUUCAUAAUCACCUUUAAUAAAACUGCUAUUACUAAAACCUGCAACAUGCACAAUCAAGAGUCAACAACUACAUCUAAUUCAGCUUAAGCGAACUAUGAAGAAAAUGAUAUUUCAAAUUGUUUCAGAGAAUAUUCUUCAGGAAAAAAGAAUAAAAAGGAGGGAAGAAAAGAAGAGAAUUUCUAGAAAUAAAGUGAAAAGAAAAAUCCAGUCUUGAACAGUUAACGGGAACUAUUAAAGUUUAAUAUGGCCACAAGUAACAGGAGGUUUGUUUGAGAGGCAUCAGCAGCCAUCACAAGAGAAAUACCAUAUACAGUGCAUAGGCAAACAAUUAUUUGGCUGGUAAUAUACUAUAUAACACAGUGAAUGAGAAAUUACCUUCAAGUUGCUUAACAUCUUCACAGUAGCAGGAUUAAAAUAAAGCUGCAUGGAAUGUGAUAUCAACUAGUAAGUUACGUCAGAUCCCAUGAUUUCUUCAAAUUUGUAAAAUGUGACUGAACAAUCAUAGGUAAGUUAUAUGAAGUCACUUGAUUCAUUUCUCUCCUUUUCCAUUUAAAAAAUUAAAAUUAUUUUAGACUUUGAAUGAGAUAGCAAACAUGAGAUACAAACAAGUGCACAACUUAAGCAAUGGUCACUCACUAUGGCAUAGACUAGUAAAGACAUAAGACACAUCAUGUGAAAUGCAUGACCGACACAAGAAUUCAAAGCUGAUUAUAAUAUAAGCACUACUGAAAUUACAGGAAUUAGAUGCAAAAGGAGGAAAAGAGGGAAGACCUCCUGAAUAAUACUUUAUCCAAGUAGAUGAUAUAUGCAUGCCAUGAUACAAAGCACUAACACCUAUAUAUAAUAAUAAUCAAGAUCAAAUACUAGAGUAGUAGUACUAGCAGAGGCUCAUCACAAAAAGACAAUUAACAUAACAAGACUCUAAAAGAAGUAAUUAACAUAACAAGCAUUAAUGACUAGCAUUCUAGCCUGGAUCCUUUUAUAUAUGCAUUUUUUAUCGGCUAACUCUACAUACCUGCAUGAUAAACUUCAGAUAGUUGUUUAUAGCAUACAAAAAUGCUGGAAUGGCAAGAAGGACAUUGUUGCGAGCUGCCUGCAAAGGAUAAAAUUACCCCAUAAAAGAUAAAUAUAAGGAGAAGAUGUGAAGGAACAUAAGAAGAAAGUGUUCUCCCAUGUUCCAAACUUCCAUAUUCACUGAGAUGUUAAUUAAAGAGCACAACUGAUCACACCAAUAUGCAAAAUGUGGUAUCUAAGAUGAAAAGUAUCAACACUGCGCUGUACAUAUGCAGUCUAAAGUAAAUACCAUAGCUGCAGAUUCUUUUAUUAACUUAACAUAAAAUGUACUUAUUCAACUUGAACUGAGUAAUCCAGAUCAAACCCAAGAAGCAAAGAACCCAGCAAAAGACAGACAUUGAUGGAAAUUGAGGAAUAUCAUAUAUCCUAUGAAACAUGGAUACGGAUACGUGUGUCGGAUAUGAUACGUAUUCGAUAUGUCGACACACAUUUUUUCUAAAAUAUAGGAUACGAUACGUUCAGGGAUACGCGUAUAAAAUAAUAAAAAACACAUAAAAUAUGAUAAAAUUAUAAGUAUAAAUCAAAAUAUUCAUAGUAAAAAAUAUAAUGGAAAUUGAAAAUCAUUGCCCUCCAUAACAAAUCUAACUUAUCUUAUUUUAUUGAAAACGAAUCUUUAUAUCCUAUAUUUUACUGAAAACGAAUCUAUGUAUCCUAUAUUUUAUUGAAAACGAAUCUGAUACGUAUCUUGAUAUUUAUUUAUUUUAUUUUAUUUUUUAAUUUUUGGAUACUCUACGGAUACGUAUCCUUCGCGAAUCCGAGCGUAUCCGUGUCGGACACCGACACGUGAGGGUGUUUGACGAAUCCGUGCUUCGGAGGAUAUGUGAAGAACUAAGUGAUAUUGCAAAUAAUAUAGAGUCUUCACAAAUCUGUCCCUUUAUACAAAACCAAUAUUUAAAAAUCACAGUAGUACCUGCAUAAACGUAGAAAUUGAGAGAAGGGGCUUCUCCCCAACUUUUUGAUUCCUAGCCUGCACAAUCAACCAAACCUUACUAAGAUUGAUAGUAAGAGCACACAAAUAGCUUAAAGAUCAAAAGAUCUUGAUGUACUACUUUAGAUAUUGGAGUUAGUUGUAACAUUCUAUAAACUUCAGGAGAUCAGCAUUCUUCAGGAUUAUCAUGUAUAAUAGGCUGCUAAGGUCAAGCAUAUCCUAAGCAUGAGAUCUUGGGUUCCAUCCAUAGAAUCAUGUCUAUAAAAAAACGCUAUUUGGGAGGGGUUCCUGCUUCGGCGCCUGACCGUACCCUGGAAGAUUAGUCUCUCACCCAUCCAGUGGGUGGAUAGACUAGGAAGAUGACAAAAUAAAAAAAUUGAUACACCUGUUUUCUACCAUUAAUAAUCGUAUAAAACUCAAAUCGUAGACUAUCAGAUUUUGAUUAUGUCGCUGUUUACUUGCAAAGAUAAAUGGCAGCCCCAUGCCAUUCACUAUAGACCAACUCUGACCUAUUAUGGAGUAUCCACUAAAGUAACUCAGGAAAUGAUAAUUCCAAACCAAAAAAAUCUCUUUUAUAACUUCUAAUGUCACUGACAUCCACACAAAAAUAAGGUAAUGUCCGGCUAUAAUAAGAAAGAUGCAACAUCAAGCAAGAUUGCAUUUUGCUAAUGAUUUGCUUCAAUAUAUGUGCUGAAUUGUUGAUUCUGCGCUCAUAAUCCACUUCUCACUUAACACAUGCUUUAAUUAUAAGUAAUUGAAAAGACAGUAUAUAUUUGAAUAAAGAUAAAGAAAAGGUGAUAUGUACCUGGAUUAAAAGCAUAACCAUAGCAAAGAAAACCUUUGUGAUCUCUGUCAAAAAGUUAACACUAAUUGGGCUAAACUUGAAUUUUCCAUCAACCUUGGACAUAUAGACAAGAAUAGGCUGCAAAAUUCAAGGGAACGAUAUAUGUCAGCCAGUAACAAGCACAAAACUUUAGCGUGAAAUAACAAUGUUAACAACAAUGAACUCUAAAAUCCUACAUUAGACUACUACAAUCUACACUAGCUCAUCUCCAAAUAUAAAAGUUUAAAUAUGCAAGUCAAAGAAAUGACAAAUGGAAACGAAGUAAUUGCUUCACUGUUUUACUUUAUAGAAACAAACAUGCUAUGUCAUAAUCAUCAUUAAAUCCCUUUUUUUAAUCCAAAGAAAAGUAUACUAUGUUCCAUCUUCUAACACGUCUACCAAACGCUACCUAGUUACUCUUCGUAAAUCGAAAUGCCAAUUUGUUUCAGCUGAAUCCUCUAUUACAUUAGUAUUUGAAGUAAGAGAGGGUACAUAUUCACCUGAAAACCAACUAGAAUACAGUCACCUACAACCAAGAAGACGUUAAGUGCACGUUGCUUGGAUGAUAUCCUAUUUUUGUGGCGAUCAUAAGCCCUUGAUAUAGAUUUGGUUGUUGGCGAAACCAAUUUUGAAUGACAAACACUGCAUUCUACCAUUCCGUCCUUCAUCUAUAUGUCCCUCCCACACUAUUACCAACUCGAUCUGCAACUGAAUAACCAAAAAACACGUUAAUAACUUCUAUAGAUCUCGCUCUUUAGGAACACACAAUCAAGAUUUAAUAAUUCCAAAGCGAAAUAGAGAUCCAAUGAAAUACGAAGAUGCGGAGCUGAGAUCUUAAAAAAAAUCACCGACAAAAUACGUAAAUUCGUGAAGAAUCAGAAUUCGGAAUUGAAGAAACGAUUAGUAACCUAAAUCGAGUCGUCACAGAGCAUUUACGAAUAAACUUGAUUUGAUCUGCAGUUAGAGUAACAGAAUUGAAAGUGAUUCAAAUGUGAGUGUGAUUUUGAAAUCGAAAACGAUUUGAAUUUCACUCUCUCUGCUUCUUCUUCUUCUUCUUACAUGAAUUGAAAUUUGGAGAAAAUUUGAAUUAGAAUUAUGAGAUAUGCGAAGAAUAUGCAGAGCGAGAAAUGUGAGAGAAAGUGGGAAAUGCGAAUUGUAUUGUAGAUUGAAGAAAAAAAUGAGAGUUACAUUUAUGCAUUUAUUUGAUUGCUUUCAUUAUACACAAAAUAAAAGCUUCGUGACGUGUUGGGUACGGGACGAUGUGACAGACCAAUCAGAUAUCAGGGUUGUGAGGAAACUAGGUGGAGUCAAACAGUUUGGUGAGUCACUGUUACGGGCUAGAAAUGAAUCAUCAAGCAUGAGUUAUUAUUACAUUGCAUACGACAAAAGUUUAACUAUUAUUUUUUUAGUUUAAUAUCAUUUAUUAGUGUGUUAAUUUUUUAAAAACUUUUAUGCUCAAAAUGCAAUAUUUUGGGUGGCUAGAUGUUUCUUUGGCUUCAAUUUGCAGGGUUGUGUUAUGUGUCUUUGCAGCAGAAUAUAUAGAGCAGGCUUUGGUGUGGAAAUAAUUAUAUAUUUUUUUAGUAUUACUAAUGAUAUAUUUUCACCUUGGUAAAGAAUUAUCAAUUUUAUAGUGUGUGAUUGAUCCUCUAACUAACAAGUGUGGUUCUCAAUAUUCCAUCUCUUGACAUUUUGAUCAUUAUAGGACCUAGUGGUACUUAUACCAUUGGACGAACACCUUGAUGGUAAAUAAUUAUAUAUAGAUAGAAUUAGGGAUAACAAAUAAAUCUGACUCAUGUUAACUGUGGAAAUACUCAAAACAAAUACCCACAAUAAUAACUUACUAGUGAAAAUUGGCUUUAAUUAAAUUUCUAUAUACAUUAUAGUUUUUUAUUACUAUUUGAAGAUUAUAUAUUAUAUAUUUUAUUAUUAUUCAUAAUAAAUUACAUUUAUUUGACUAGAAUUAUAAGUUUAUGAUAUAAGUAUCUUAUUAUUCAUGUAAUAAUUAUUUUUAUAUAUUGAUUAUUAAAAAAUAUAUAAAUAUAAUUAAAAUUAAAAUUUAUUGGGUAUCCACUAUCCUCCUAUACCACAUAUAUUGGAAAUGAGAAACUGAGUUACCAUCCCUGGAUAGAAUUACCUAUAACAUGUUCCAAUAUUCUUCUUGUUGCCGUAAAUGGUUAUGAAUUAGAUAACAAUAUGAGAUUAUUUAUUGCUUUAACACAUUCUACUGUUUAAAGAAUUACUUAUCAUAUAAUAUAUAUGUAUAUACUGUUAAUAUGAAAAUUUAUAUACAAUUAGUAUAAUUUCUAUUAUUUUUUAAAGAGUCAAUAAUAAAUGAAUACUAAUAAUAGAUAAGACAAUAAUAAUAUAUAAAAUUCAUACAGUAUUAAUACAUACAUUUCUUUUACCCCUACAUUUACUAAUUAACAUAUGUUUAAAACAUUCUCUAUGCACAUAAGAUCCCACAACCCUCAUAACAAGAGAAUAAUCCCAUUUAGAGUGUAUAUUUCUUACAAGGGAAAUAUCAUUGUACAACUAAAGAAGAAUUAUAUAUUAUUAAAAGACAUUUAUUUAUUUUGCACAUACUUUCAUGUUGUUUGUAACACAUAGUUUGUACGUUAUAUAUGACAAAUAUAGUAUUUUGUGUUAAAUAUUUAUAAUUUGAAGUUGAAUUUAUUUGAUUAGUAUAAUGUUCAACUUUUUUAAAUAUGCUUUCAAAAUAAGAAGAUAAUGAAUAUAAAAUAAAGAAUCACAAAUUACAUCAAAGUGAAUGAUUAUUUUAUGUUUUCUUUUUAUUAAGUAGUAUAGACAUAUUAUGGAUAUAUAUUAAUGAAUGUUUGAUACUGAUAAGGAUGUAUGUCUUUUAAAUUUGUAAAACAAAGUUGCAAUAAUAUGCACCCAAUGAUCAUCUUAACAGACUCAAUUGAAGUAUUUUGUUGUUAGAUAAGCAUUUUGCCAAUUGAUUAACGCAUUUAGAGCUUACCACUAAAUCUUAUAGUAGUGUUCAUGUUGUCUCAUUAGAUGGGUAUGUGGGUUAACCCAACUCACAUGGGCUUGAUCUGCAUUGGUCAGAACCUAUCAUGGUGGUCCGCACCAUCAUGCAUGAGCCAACAUUAUAAAAAAAAAGUAUUUUUUCAUUAAUAACUUAUCUCUUAACUCUAUUGAUUGCUUGACACAUCUUAUAUUUUUCUUUUAUAAUAUAUUUUAAAUGAAAACUUUUAGAGAGAAUCAAAAUAAAACAUGUGCCAAACAAUCAAUGAAGCUAAAGAGAUAAAUUAUUUCCUGGUAUGGAGAUAUACUUUAUUAUCUAAAAAGCCAUGAAACAAUCUUUAAAAUAGGUAAUUUUAAUACCACUAAUCAACCAAAUUAACAUCCAAUUUAAUACUAAAAAACCAAAAAUGCCCUCUCCAUCAUUCAUACUCGACCACUUCCCUUUCUUGCAUCAUCAAUAAAAGAACCAUUCUUCGCAUAAUUUCAUCACUUUUCAUGCAUUCAUUUUACAUCCCUAAACCAUAAUGUUCUUGGCUCCAUCUUAGCCAUAACAAAGUUACAGAGUAGGAAUUCAAUUUUCAGAUUGUCCAAAAUAUCUACCAGAAAUAGUAGCCAGUAUAUUCAGCAUUACAACCUCUUCAUCCAGUUCAGCCUUUGUAGCUCGUAUGCUAGCACACUUUCGCAGCAGACCCCUGAGAGCAGCGGAAGUGUCGGCAUGUAAUGGAGCAUCAACUGCUGCACAGAGAGCAAAAAGCCACAUGCAAUCAUUUCUUGCGAUGGCAUCUUCAGAUUCUAGCAACCUAACCCGUUUAUGCAACAUAGAUACCCGGGCUACAGAAUCCAAUCCUAAGAUUGCAGAAAGUAAAGGAAGAGCGGGAGAGCCACUGCUAAUUUGAUCAACAGAAGUUUUUGAUGCAGGAUUCUCCGGAGGCAGUGCGGCGGUAUCCUUGUCUUCAGUUGUCAGGUCAGUGGGUUGAUCCAUUGCCUUAUCGACGCUCAUGUGAUGAAGUAGGACAUCCAUGUUCAUUACGCUAGCUAAUUGUUGCCCAAGUAGGUUAGGGGAAUGAAUAGGUUGAAGAUUAUUUGAAUCUUCAAGAGAUGAGAGAUUCUGGAAUAAGAAGUUGACAAAUAAAGGAAAAUGGGGUCAGUAAUUAUAGCAUUAAAGCACAACCAGAAGACUCCUAAUCCAAAGCUUUAUUAUCUCAGACAUCAAUUAGGAUCUUAUAUGAACAAACAUAAAUGAUUAUAUUAUGUGUCAAGUUACAUUUAAGAACUUUAGAUGGGUCCAAAAUGCAUUUGUGAGAUCAUGUGAGCAAGUGGCAUGCAUUAAGUGGUGCAGGAGUAGCAUAACUCUUGGAUAAAGAGUCACGGGUCAUCCCCAUGAAAAUGAAGGAAAAAGAAAAGGGACACAUAUAUAUACAAAUAGGUUCUUGAAGAACAUACUGCUCUCAAUGCCGAAAACUCAGCAAGAAAUACAUCCUCCCACUGUUUCAAUGGUAACAAAUGCUCAGGACAUUCGGGAAUAUCAGGAAUCUUGGGCAUGUAAGCACUUUGUUCCUUGUUAAGUUUACUUCUAUCAAAUUUGGCUACUUUAACUUUAGGAAUUUGUUUCGCCUCCCACCUAAGCAAGAAAAAGAAAAGUUAAGAUUAGAGGGAAAGUUACAGUACAAUGUCUCCAGUUCACCCCCAUUUAACAGAUCCAAAAGUUUCUACCAUAUAUAUCCUACAAUAAAUGCUAUAGUUUCCUACCAUACUGCAAUAGUACCCCAAACAUAUUCUAGGAAACCAUUGAAUAUCAGCUUUCAAUACCACCCCUUCAACAUACUUGCCCCAAAAUUUAUUCCACAAAGCUCACAGAAUGGAUCAUGCUUUUAACUUGGCUAGGAAUCUAUUCAAAUACUCAUUGACAUUUAUAAAUAGAACCCCCAACUGUAAUACGAUUGAUAAUAGAAUGUGUAAGACUGAACAAAACAAACACUCUUUCACCAUAAAAAUUUCUUAGCAUAUGCUUAAUAUAAUGCCUAUUGCAGGCUUCCCCAGCUCCUCUAUCCCCAACUUUUUUACGAAAUUUAUAGUUUUAAGUCUGCCCACUACAAUUGUACUAUUAGACUGCAUUUUUCAUCUCGAGAUUGACUAGAAGUCUACUUACAACACUGUAAGUGCAAAAAAGUCUACAUGGAGAAUCACUACGCAAGAGAAAGCAGAAGUGCAGAACAUCAAAAGGAAAUUAUAAGGAAUUAGAAAAUUUCAAAGCAUACAAUCAGCUUCCAGCAAUUAAAAUAAUACCUGACACGCCUAAGGUAUUCCCAUCCAUCUUCUGGUGCCCCAGCAUCGAAAUUUGGUUCUCCCUUGACAAAAAAGGCAGGCCUCUGGAUGCUAGCAUAAUCAUCAUCGCUGUCAUCAUUUUCACUGCUCUCUUCUAAAUUUGAGCAUCCAUCCCCAUCCAUAAGACUAUGAGUACAAGAAGGGUCAUCAAGACUCACAUUUUCACUACUUUUCAUGAGUAGUUCACUAUCCAUAUUUUCAUUACACACUGCACCAUAAAACAAAUGCAAAACUUUCAGCACCAUAAUAACUAUCAAUUCAGUAAAAAUAUAUAAUUUAAUCUCAGUAAAUGCAACAAUCAGGUAACGCGUAUCCUUCUCAUCCAAGUACAACACAACAGAAAUUGAACUUUUAUUGAAAAACAAUGACACAGCUUUCAACAUACAAUGUGAGUUUUUCUACUAUGCAUGUCAAAAAUGAAGUAUCACCUAUUUCAGUAUGGCCGAAUUAGUCACACAAAUUUACAAUCAAUCCAAAUGCACAAGAUUUUCAUAUACAAUAACUUUAUACAAGUAGUCAUGCAAACUGAAGUCGGUGCUUAAAUACACAAAUCAGAAUAAAAUCAACUAAUGUGGCAGAUUAGAUCUUUUUCAGGUUCCUCUUGCUUAUUCUUUAAUGGACUAAGACAUUCACAACUCUCCAUCUUCCAUUAGCAGCACCCAGACCUAAUAGAAUUUGAAAACAAAAAAUUGACACAAUAUGAGCUAACAACUGGACAGUUGGAUGAUAAUAAAAAGUACACAUCUGAGCAAUAAAUAUUAAUGCAGUUUCACUCACACAAAAAAUCCUAGUUCAGUUUGCAUAGAAAUAAACUUAAGACAGAGAGACAGAGGAAGAUUAUAAGUAAAAAAUAUUCCGGCAAACUAUUGCAACCACUAUGAAAAAUAACAUGAAGUCAGUAUAAUGAAAAAGCAAUGGCACCAUGAAGAUGAAAUAUUUUCCGAACAUUGCAUUUUGCAACUAUCCAUAGAAACUACAACAGUAAAACUGGGGGGAAAAGUGAAAAUGGAAGAGUGGAGUUUUAUAAUGAUGGUCACAAGUACAAUCUGAAGAACAAGGAAACAUGAUGCAUUCAUGUUCAAUGGAAAAAAAAAGUCAAAUUACUGCAAAGUUACUAAAGUAAUUGAGCAAUAGCGAGGGGAGGCAAUUUUAAACAAGGUAUCUCUAAAUAGAAGCAAAAAAUAAUCAAUAUUCACAACUCUAGAAGGAAGAGAUACAGACACAAUGAUCUAUAAUCCAUCUUAGUUUGAAAUCACGUCCGAACUCGAAGAAUUUCAAACAGCACAACAUCUUUCGAUCUUAAUCCAAAUUUGAGCAAUUGAGGACUAAUGUGGUUGAUAAAGGCUUAUUGUUCAACAUGUUAUUAUACAUCUAUGACAAAAGAUUAUGAGUUACAAAUUAGGAUGUUGGAAAACCCUUGACUUCAUGAAAACAUAGUUUUAAAGUUACAAAAAAUACUUCAAUCUUUAUAACCUUUUCUGCAUGUAUUUAAGCAACUUGCAUUAAUAAUAAAUAUUCACCAAUAUAGUCUCAUCAUUGAAGAGCAUUCACGAACGAACACGUGACAAACUAUGGUAUAAUCUUCCAACUAAGAAACAAUGAUAAAUGGAAGGGAUAUCAAAGUAACCACUCAUACUGGAAAUCAAAUGAGAACUCAUAAAACACUUGGAUACUAUGAUCACAUGCAAUACCCUCUUGUUUCUUGAAUUCUCAUGCAAUUGUAGUAUCUUCUUAUUAAUUGAAUUCUCACUAGAUUUAACAAUUAUUGUAGAUGGAGACACAGAAACAGUGAUAAAUGGAAGGGAUAUCAAAGUAAUUACUCAUAUUAGAAAUCUAAUGAGAACCCAUAAAACACUACCCUCUUGUAUCUUGAAUUCUCAUGCAAUCAUAGUAUCUUCUUAUUAAUUGAAUUCUCAUUAGAUUUUUAGUAUGAGUACUUACUUUCCAUUUAUCACUGUUUCUAUGUCUCCAUCUACAAUAAUAUUGUUGCGCCUUAUGAAUUAGUUGAAAGACUAUAUUGUGCAUUGUUGGUUGGACAUGCUUUAAUGAUAAGACUACAUUGUUGACUAUAUCUUCGCAAUGCAAAUAACUUAAAUACAUGCACAAAGAGGUGAAGGGGAUAUAAAGAUAAAAUAUUUGGUGCAACUUCAAAACUAGUUUCAUGAAGUUCAGGGUUUUCUAGCAUUCUAUUUCGUAACUCACGCUAUAUGUCAUAGAAUGUAUAAUUGCAUGAAACAUGGUCUACCUCCCUGAUUAGGAUGAAGUCCCUCAAUUUUGUGAUAAAUUGAACGAGAGCACGGAAGGUAGGGAUACCACAUCCAGUUGCAGUUGAUCUGUUAUCAAGAUAAACCACCCAAUAAAUUGAAUGCAAAUAUAUGAUGGUAACCUCUAAUAUGUUGCCUAAAAUGUCUUCCUUCAUUUGGAGAGUCAACAACAAUGUCAAGCAACUGUUGAGGCGCAUUUACUUGACGUAACCAAGAUGCACUCAAGUUGAAUGGAAAGAAGUCAAAUUAGUGCAAAGUUACUCAAGUAGGCAACAUUAAACAAUGUAUCUCUAAAGAGAAGCAAAAAAUAAUCAACAUUCACAACUCUAGAUGUAAGAAAUACCGACACAACACAAUUUCAAAAUUUUAAUUUCUUUAAAAAAUGUAGCACAACACAGACAAAUAUAAAAGAUGACUAAAAAACACAAACAGAGAGUUCCAUAUCUUUCACAACAAGAUUUCCUUAACAAUACUAAUUAUAAAUAUACAUAAUCCGAUGCAAUAACCAAUAGAGAAAAGCGAAAGGAAAAGUGAUUACCAAGAAUUGAGGGUGGUGAUUUCUUGUUUGGAAGAGAGUGAGGAGGGUUACGCUUAACGUUGCUAUGAUGAGUUGCAGCCAAAGCUUGAUAAGGUUUAGCAAUAUCACGAGAUUGAAGGGUUUUGAAGAUUGAAUUCCAUAACUUGCGUUGGUGAUCGAUAUUAACGAACCUGAGUGCCUCCAACUCAUGAAUUGAAUACUUGGCUUUCACAACAGAAAUUGAAGACUCAGCCAUCUCACUCGGUUAUGAUCGGAACCUUGAGGGUUUUAUGAAUUGGGAUGGGGAAGGGUUUAUAUAGGAUUCAUAUUCAUCUAUUUUGUAUCAAAUUCGACAAAACUGAAUAAUUAUAUGAUUUAAAUGUCAUGGGGAUGUAGCUCAAAUGGUAGAGCGCCCGCUUUGCAUGCGGGAGGUACAGGGUUCGAUCCCCUGCAUCUCCAUUUUUAUUCAUUGUAACAAUUUGUUUCUCUGUUAUAUUAUAACUCAUUGUAACAAACCCACAAGGGUGUGGGUGUAUCAGUACAGAAUAUAAACAAAAUGUGCGCUGCAAGUGUGUGCUUAAAAGGAGUUAAGACUUAAGAGGCACUGAAGUUUUCUGGUCCAUAUUCGCAAACAAAACAAUUAUCUCCUAAUGCUAAUUCUCUUCCUACCAGUAUGCUUAAGAAGAGUGUUUUAGUUUAAGAGUGUUUAGUUCAUGCUACAAUAAGAGUGUUUUAAGAGUGUUUAGUUCAUGCUACAAUAAGAGUGCUUUAAGAGUAUUUAGUUUUACAAUAAGGUAUUUAGUUCAUUCUACAAUUAUUUAGUUCAUGCUAUAAUAAUAAUGGUAUUUAGUUCAUGCUAUAAUAAGGGUCCACAUCUACUGCCCCACAAUGAAAUUAUUAAUUAAAGUUUAAUUAUUAAUUAUUUUUUUGACCAAUCAUAGUUUAUGUUGGAGUGACAUAAAUUAUGGGGUGUUUAGUUCAUACUAUUAGAUGAUAUGAAUGCUCAAAAGUGAAGCUUCAAAGGUAUGCUUAUUCUUUACACAAAUAUGUAAGAUUAUGAUUAUAUUUUUAUCAAACACCUACAGCAGCAAAAUUAUGCUUUAUUUGUACCCCCAACAACUAUUUUUGGACAAAAAUAAUUUCAACCAAGCAAACUGUAGAACUUCAAAAUCUGUGAAAAUUUAAGCAUAAGACUCAAAUGAGAGACUAGCAUGCCACCAAUACCAAUUGACGAUUAUGUAAUAUCCUAUUCCUCAAGGACAUUGACAUUCAUCAAAAAGAAGAAAAUUAUAAACAUGCUGCUCCAAAAUGAAAUAUAGUUUCCACACAUAAAGGUUUUUCAAGCCAAGUGUCAGCUUAAUCUGUCUGCUCACAAGAAACAAACAACAAAUAUGGGAGGAUCAACCUUGACAAAUAACAUUUACCAACACAUAUCUCCACCACACUACCCAAACACAUUGUUGCAUUAUGGCUCUAUACAUGUGAGCACUAAAGUAUAUACUUGGAAUUUAACAAUAACAUGAUCAGAGCCAUUCCAAUCCUACACAUCCAAUCUCAAAAGAAAUACAUAUGUAUAUAUAGGAAGUAUAUGACCAAAUAUGGAGAUAACUGAAUCAAACUGUGAAGAACUCAAGAAGUUAAAAACUCAAGUUUGUUUGCUUCAACUCUCAGGGGCAGCAGGAGCAGCAGUCUUCAGAAGUGGUUGGAGUGCUUUAACAACUAUGCUCAUAUUUGGUCUAAACUCUCCUUCAUAUUGCACACACAGUGCUGCAACAGCUGCAAGCUGCAUAGUCAAUGAUGAUUAAGCACUCUGUAUCCAUUUAGAAAUGGAAGAUCCAAGCAACAUGAUUUAUGUGUUUAGGUGUCAUUGAAUGUGGUGUGUGCUCAUGUGUAGGUAGAGAGAGAGAGAGAGAGGAGGGAUACCUUGGCAACUCCUUUAGGGGGAUAUUCUCCCUUCAAUUUUGGGUCAACACAUUGUUUAACUUUAUCCUCACUUAAUCUUGGGGUAGCCUGUAAAAUCAUUUGUCAACUAAAUAUCUAUGGGAGACCACCAUAUACAAAUAACUGAAAUGGGUAUAGAAAUGAGGUAAGAUUUUAAGCAGGAGCACUGACCCAUGUGACUAGGCUUUGCUGUCCGCGAGGCAUAGUAUGAUCAACAGGUUUUCUUCCAGUAAGAAGCUCAAGAAGAACAACACCAAAACUGUAGACAUCGCUCUUCUGAGUCAACUGGCCAGUCAUUGCAUAUCUGUCAAAAUUGGCAAUAAUUAGAAGCUAAGAACAAAUAAAGCAACACCAUGUCCAGAAUGACGGAAAAGAUUGAUUAAAGCCAAACUAGGUGGAGCCAACUAUAUAGACCUAGCAAAGUCAUAUGUUCUACCAUAAAUUUAGUUUGUUGACAAAAAUUGAUCUCGAAAAAUUUCAUAAUCAUUUUACUAUGCUUUUUCUUGACCUCCUUCUGCCUCUGGAAAUUGAACUAACAUUCAUUUGAUCUUCUAUCUUUAUUGAGCCUUCUAACGGUCAUCUCCACACAUGACCAAACAAUCUAAGGAUUUUACUAUCUUCUUUGCAAUAUGAACUAAAUAGGCUUUCUCCCUCAUGCAUUCAUCUUUAAUCUUAUCUUGUCUAACUUGUUCACUCAUCUACUACAACAUUUUCAUCUUUGUUACAUGGAGCUUAUACUCUUGUUGACAUUUUACCACCCUACAUUCAGUCUCUAUAACAUUGUGGGUCUUAUAUCUAUGUUGUAAGGCACCUUAGAAUCACAUAUAACACUUGAACACUUUGUCAUUUCAUCCAUCUUGUUUGAGUCAUAUGGUUUAUAUCUCUAUCAAUUUCCUCAUUGUAUUGUAUGAUUAAGUCAAGAUACUUAAAUCUAGCGACUUGUGUUAUGCUAUGACCUGCAACUUACAUUGCAUAUACUUUGUCUUACUUCGACUUAUAUGAAAGUCAUAUGCUUCUAAAGUUUGUCUCUACCUUUCUAGUUUCUCGUUUAAUUCUUGUCUCGAAUCUCCAACUAGGACAAUGUUAUACGCAAAAAGCGUGAUCGUGACACCGGUUUUUGGAUAUACUCACUGACCACAUCUUAGACUAAUGUAAACAAGUAAGGGCUCAAUAUUGUCCCUUGUUGUAGUCCUAUAGUAAUAAGAAAAUUUGUCGAGACAUCAUCUUCUGUUUUCACAAUGGUCUUCACCACAUCAUACAUACCUCUGAUUGCUCAAAUGUAGGCAAUUCGAUUACCUUUCUUCUCUAGAUCAUUCCACAAUACGUCUCUAAGCACUUUAUCAUAAUUUUUCUCCAAAUCAAUGAAAACCAUGAGCAAGUCCCUCUAGUUCCUUCAGUAUCUCUCCAUCAACCAUAGUAGCAAGUAUAUAGGCACCAUGGUUGACAUUCACGGCGUAAAACCAAAUUGAUUUUCAGUAAUACACGUCUCUUGUCUCAACCCCAGCUCAAUUAUCCUCUCUCAUGGCUUCAUAGUUUAGCUAAUGAGCUUCACCCCAUAUAGUUUGUACAGUUUUGUAUGUUGCUCUUAUUCUUAUAAAUGAGGAUUAAAAUCAAAUCUAAUGGUCCUCCAACAGUAAAUCAUGAAUUCAAGCUGUAUGUAAAAACUAAAAAGAUAUGACACAUACAACAUACAAGCAGCAACUGUGCCUUUAUAAAAGGGUAUUUUUUUAAGUACAAAAUAUGAAUUCAAAGGGGAAAAUAAGAGAGAUAAUAUAGAUGUAUAAAUAUAAAGCUAAUAGAUUCUGGACGCUUACUCUGGAGCGUGAUACCCAAAAGUUCCCAGCACUCGAGUGGAAUGAAGGCGUGCAGCCAUGUCAGGAGACUGAUUUGAAAGGUUAAAAUCCGCUAUCUUAGCCUUGAAAUCUUCAAAGAUAAGCACAUUACUUGAUCUGAUAUCUCUGUGAAUAACAGCUGGCUGAACUUUCUCAUGUAAAUAUUCUAGCCCCCUUGCUGCAUCAACUGCAAUUCUAACUCGUUGUAUCCAAUCAAGGGUUGGACCUGGUUGUGCCCCUUGAACUCCCUUUCUACCUGCAAUGGAAAGCAGAUCAAUCAAAAUCAUCAAAGGAACUUCUAAGCUUCGAAAAGGACAUGACAUUACAUACCAUGCAAUAUGUCAUGAAGAGAGCCCAUAGUAGCAAACUCAUAUGCUAGUACACGAAGAUUCCCUUCAACACAAUAACCAAGCAACUCAACAAAAUUGUCAUUUUUCAAUCUUGAGACCAUGGAAACCUGAAAUAGGGAACAUUGGAUCACGAAGCUAACAAACUCAGAAUAACUGAACAAAACCAACAUACUUUCAAUGGAAAAUCUAUAAUAAUUUGUUUGUUGAUAGAAAAAGAUAUGCCUGAGUCAAAAACUCAUUAUUUGAUUCAGGCUCAGAUGAAACAUCAAGCUUUUUCACAGCCACAGCUUUUCCAUUGUUCAAGGUUGCAUAAUAUGCCCUUCCAUAUGAUCCUUCACCAAUCAAUGCCUUUGAUCCGAAGUUGUCAGUCUUUUCCUUCAGCUCAUCUAAAGAUAAGGCUGGAACUUCAAUAGGUGGUGGUGCCUUUUGUGUUUCAGGUUUCGUAGGAGCCGAUGCCUUUGAGCCUCUGUGGUUGCCUGAAACAAAAAAACAUGACAAUUGAAGAAUCUUUACUAGGAAAGAAACCAUCCAUACUAUGAGUAAUACUUAGAAUUCGCUUUUGUUAAAGUAUCUAGGCUCCUAAAAAUAAAUACAACAAUCAAACCUUGAACCACAGUGUGGCAUCAACUACAAUUGGAAGCUAAAUGACCAGUUUCAAGAAAGAAGCAAACUGCAUUCCUGGAAAGGAAUUAAAAAUACCUUAUAAUUAACUAUUCUAUGAAUACCCUUCAUUGUUAAUAUAUUUACUUCUUCCUCAAAUAGUAAAGAAAAGCUGGAAGAAAAAAUAAUGUGGAUUAAAUUAAGAAAAUCACCAUCUCCAUAAUGCCUCGGGCUUUUCUGGUGCUCAUUUUCAUUCGAUGAGUAAGACUCUUCCACCUGACAAUUACAGCAAAGCCACCUACGCAUCCUUGUCGUCUUAGUCAAAUGUAAAUCGUCUUUGCUAUAAGUUCGAUUCUCCAGGCGGACAAAGUUGCCAGGAGGAGAAGCAUGUGCCUACAUAAUGGCAUAAGAAGCAUGAACAUCCCAUCAAUGACGUAAUAAUUAGGAUCAUAAUUACUUCAUAAAAUCCAACAAUUAAUUCACCUUGAAUAAUAAGUCGGGGGUGCUAAAGGCACAAAUGUUAGAAUAUUAGGUAAUAAUGGUCUCGACAACAACUAUGACUUAGUUUCACAAGGUGGAGUUGCUACUUUGAGCAAACGACUUACAUUCAUGGACAAAGUAUUGAUCUCUAAAUCUAUCAUAAUCAGUUCUUGCUUAUGAUUUUUCUUGGCGUCUAUUUGCCUCUAACGGUCUCUUCUACACAUGCUAAAACCACUUAAAGGUGAUGAUGCCAUAUUUUCUACAAUAUGAGCUCCCCAAAUUUCUCUCUUCAUUCCUAAUCAUAUUUUGUCCACUCAUCCAACAAGACAUUAUUAUCUCUAUUAUAUUGAGUUUAUUCUCUUAUUGAUAUUUAUCAUCCAACAUUUACUCUCAUGUUACAUUGCAUAUCUUAUAGUUGUGCGGUAAAACUUCCACUUGAGUUUGAAUGACACAUAUCUAUCAUAUUUGACAAUUGAAACACUUAGUUAUUUCAUUUCAUCCAUUCUGCUUGAGUCCUCUAGUUUACAUCUCCCUCCAUUUCCCUAUCGUGUUGUAUGAUUGAUCAUAAAUACUUAAAUCUAGUGACUUGUGGUAUGAUAAAAUCUCCGACUUUUACCUCCAGUAGAGUUUUUCAGUCUCUUGCAAAAUUUACACUCCAUAUACUUCAUCUUAUUUCAACUUAUAUAAAAGUCAUGUGCUUCUAAAACUUUCCUUCACAGUUCUAGCUUCCCAUUUAAUUCCUCUCUCCAAUCUCCAAGGAGGACAAUAUCGUCCACAAAAAAUACAUUGUGCCAUCGAUUAUUGGAUAUACUCAUUAAGCCCACCCAUCACCAACAUAUACAAAUAGAUGCUCACAUCGAUAUUGACACAUCAUACAUAACCUUGAUUGCUCAAAACUAGGUAAUCUGAACUUCUUUCUUCUCUAAUGUUUUCCAAUGUACCUCUCUAGGCACAUUAUCACACGCUUUCUCUGAAUCAAUGAAACUAUGUGUAAAUCCUUUUGGUCCUUUCGGUAUCUCUUUGUCAAUCAUCGUGGCAAGCAUAUUGCUUCCAUCGAUCUCCCCGACAUAAAACUAAAUAUAUCAACUCAAUGCUAAAAAAACUUGAUACUUAUGUGCUCAUACAAAUAAAAUGCAAUCUCCACACCCUCCACUUUUGCUAUCACCUUGAUCUAAUAAACAUUACAUUGCCUAACAACAUAACACAUUCUUUUUUAAUGUCAUGCAUUACAGAUUCACAAUACUUGUUUAAAUUGAAUCCUUAGAAAAUUAUGUAGGGAAUUUCGUCAAACAAUCAUUCAACAACAAAUCACCAACGGAGGGACCUUAAAUAAUUUAUCAACUUAAAAAUAAAACAGGAUCAAAACCAUUCAUUGCCGCAAUUCAUUCAACAAUCACAAAAAUUCAAUUUGGAACAUUACAAACUGUAAAAUUAGAUACAACAACAAUUAACAAUCAACAAUCAUCAUAAGAAUCACGGAAUAAUGCAAAAAUUGAACAACUAUUUUGAGCUCCUGAAAUGAAUUGAGUAAAAAAUAUACGAAAAUUGAUUAAUACCAAAGCAGAAGGUCGAUGGUGAAAGUCUCUGCGGUCCAUUCAAAAGGGAAGAAAAUUAUAGAAAUGAAUCAAAAUCGAAAUGAACUAAAAUGGAAAACAGCUAGAGCCCAGAAAAUGAGGAGAUGGAAAAAACAGAGAUUGGAAACAAAAACAAAAACUGAAAAUACGAUAAAAUAAAAUAAAAAAGGGUGAGAGAUAAAUUAACCAAAAAUAGGACUAAAAUAAAGGGAAGAAGAGAAGAGAAGAGGAGAGAGAAAUAGAAUAAUACCAAUUUGGGUUGUUAGGGUUUAUUUGGAAAUGAAUGUUUAAGUAUUUGAGGGGAUGCAAAUUAAUGUAUAGAGAGACAUGUCGAUUUGUUUUAUUGUUUUUUGGUUACUGAAACUUUGCUUAGUAGUUUGGAAUGUCGUUUCUACCAGGUAAGCAACGCGGCUCAACACCUCUUUAGAUUAUAAUAAUAAUAGUAUUCAUUCAGGUACAAACAAGUUUCCCAACCAAUAGUAUUGGUUCAGCCAGUUUAAUUCUCUUUAAGUAAAGUAUUGGAUUCAAGUUUUAUGGAUAAAAAAAUAUAUGUUAUGAGAGUUAAUUUCAUAUACUUGUAGAUGUUUCAGACUCCGACAUAAUUGCCUCCAGUGUGAGGAUACUCGUAGGAAACAAAAAAAACAAACUUCUCAUUACCAUAAAUAAUAUAAUAGUGUAAGAAUUGAUUUGAUUCGGAGAUAAAUUAAAAUAUUAAGAAUUCGAUUCAUAGUAAUCACAUUUGUUAAAAGGAAUAGUCACGUGUCUCUAUAAAUUUAGCUCUACAGAUACUUUUGAUUAUAUCAAACUCUUCGUUAAGAUAAUAUACUUUACAAUAUUAUUAAUGAGUUGAUAAGAACAUUUGGCUAAAUGGGAUUUUUAGAAGGAAAAAAAAGUCAGGUUAAUUAGUAAACCAAUUGAAGUGGUGUAUGUCUUUCAAGUCAAUAAGUUAUAAUAUUCUUGCAUCAUUUUACAUUUAUAAUUCAAUUGAUCCACUAGUUAUAUCGUAAGGUUACAUAUAAUAAUAAGAAAACAACAAUUCUAUAUUUUAAUUUAAUAAUAACUAUGUGUUUUUAUAUUUAUAAUUAAAUUAAAUAAAAAUAUAUCUGUUUGGAUAGUUUUUCAUUUCUUUGUAGGAAAGAUGAGUUGGCAGUGUGAUGAUGAGAGAAGGUAUCUGACCCAAUUGUUUAGGACUCCUUUUAUGCCUUGGCUGGUUUUGUUCUGAAGAUUACUUCCAUCUUUUUAGGGCCAUAAUAGGUCCUUGUGCUUCCUACUCAUUAUUACUUUUUUGAAAGUAGUCAUGUUAUAAUACUAUUCUCAAUAUUAAUAAUUUGAAGCAUCGUGUCUUUGCUUUUCUACAUCCAAAAGAAUUGGUUGAAGCAAAGCACUGCAAAAUAAACUAUCAGUAAUCUACAAAAAUAGGAUGUAACCAAAGCUAAUCAUAAGAUGGAAUUAAAAUUCAUAUUAUACCCCCUUCACAUACUAUGCCAAACUUAUAAACUUCAAAAUCCUAUUUCCUCUUUUGAAGUUAAAUUGAAACAAUUAAAGUUUGUAAGUCUUAGAGAUGGAAUGGUUAUUUUGGCAUGUUGUACAAUGUUGUAGCGCCAUGUUUGGCUUCAUAUCACUCUACCCCUCAAAUGUGAUUCUAGCCAAAAACUACAACUAAUAGAAUGGGUAAACAAGAUUUUGAGCCUUAGCCACAGUAGAAUUGAAAUUAGAGUAUCCUUUUAAUCAAAUGGCAGAUUCUACCAAGUUGUUGAUCUAAUAGUAUACGAUCUCGUUAAAUCCUCAAGAUGACCAAAAUAUCAAGAGUUCAAUUCAUCAAAGCAACACUUGUUGGAAGGGGCAACCCCACAUCCCAAAAUGGAUUAAUUUUUUACUCAAAGUAAAGAAAACUCUUGGUAGUACCAGAUUCUGGCACAAAGUGAUCUUAACUUCUUAAUUUAACAUAACAAAGAUAACCAUAUCUAUCUUAUUUAUCUAUAUAUUUGACUUUAUACAUUUAUUUUAAAUGUAGGUAAAACAAACGAAACAUGGCCAUUCCAAACAUUUUGCGUAAGCGUUCUAAACCACAAAAUAGUAAGUCCAGGGCAAUGACCAAAUCAUAAAAAAUAUUAUAUUAUAAGUUCUGUACUUGGUUAAGCAAAAAAACACCCACUGAAGGCACCAAGCUUGCCUUCUCAAUCUUGCAAAGUACUUAAAAUAAUCUAUAAAUAGAUUAUCAAGGUGGCCAGAAAAUUCCUGAGACAUCAAGGGAGAACAAGUAUGCUGAUUGCUGACCCAAAAAAGUGGAUAACAGAAAUUACAAGACAUAAAUUAACAUUUGGGUCCAAAUUUAUGCUUAUGCUUAAGCAUAUUAAUGAUUAAUGCUACACAAACAAAGUCAAAAUGAUCACUACCUUGAAUUGUGGUCAAAACUGAAACAAGUGCAAAAAAAUCCUGAUCCUAUUAAAGAUGAAGGCACAAGUCACCACUGUGCUAAUCCAGUCUCUGCUUGCUCUUGCUUUUUAUCAUCUUUGCCUUAAAUCUUGACUUUACCAUCAGAGUUUGUACUGUAUUUGUGAAGUUCCCAACAGCCAUCAAGACCAACAGGACGCCACAAAAUAUUACCUGCUCCAAGAGUAUACCAAUCAUUAUAUGGCUAAUAUGGAGGAGAGCCCAGUGCAUGAGGUUCUCAUAUAGUGAGAUCUGAGGAGAGUAGAUGUAAGUAGCCUUAUCCCCACAAACGGAGAGACUAUUUCCAGAAUAUGAAUCUGUGACCUUUUGGUCAAUACGCAACAACCUUACAAUUGUGCCGAGACUCACCCUCUAAUUAUACAGCUAAUAUAUGCUACAAGGAUUCAUUCUUUCAGGUUUUGCCAGUUGAUGCACAAAAUGAAGAACUAAAAUAGAAAAGCACAAGCAAGGUAGUACCUGCCAUUCAGAAACAACCCCAACAAAUGCGGUAUUGAGCAACAAUACUCCAACAUAUGCCUCAAAUCCCUAAACCAAGAUAGGAACACAAAUAUUUACUUCACGAAUGUCAAACCAAAAUCCAUGUGACACUCAGGUCAAAAAAAAUUAAAAAUGUGACUAAAGCAGAAAAUUUCAGUUUUAAAGCAAAUUAACAGUGGAACAUAUAAGGCAGAACAAUAAGCUUAAGGCGUGUUUUGGGUCAAGCUGCGAAGUUACCUGCAAUAUGAAAAGUAUGGGACACAGUAGCCACAGUUGGCCAUCCACACCAGCUGUUUCCCCCCACACAACAUCCAUCCGCUUAGCCUAAAAUUCAGAGAAAAGCAAGGAUAAAAACUAUGUAUUUUCCAGUCCAUUUGCUUAGAGAAAUUUCACAAUAAAAUUAUUGCUUUAGGGGAAAAGGAAAUUAUAACACGACAUAGUGGGUCCAAGAGGUGAAAGGAAGUAACUACUAACUAGGCAAGAUGAUAGAAUGACUGUGACGUAUAACUAAACUAGAAAUGAAAAAGCAUGUACAAAAAAUAUUAUUUAGCAGUCCCACCUUUCCUAAUGCAAUACGAGUAUACAGUCUCUGGCGUUGAUAUCUAUUUUGCAAAAGCAUUGCAACUCCUUGCAUCAUAGCCCACUGUAGGAAAAGUUCUACACCUCUCUGCAUGUGUUGUUGAGACAUAAAUGAUAGGCACAUAACAGAAUUAAUAGGAAUUAAAAGGAAGCAAAAAACUAUAUACAUUAGGGAAGGAAACUAGCCUGCUUUUUUGCACAAUCUGGUUGUCCUUUAAUUUCCCAUGUAAGGCUCACAAGGGCCAUUAUCAUAGCACAAUAGUGAUGAUAUAUCCACCUGUAACCAUAUAGCAAGUUUAUUUGCCAAAAGAUUUAGUCCCAUGUAAACCAAUCUCUGCCCUUCCCAAAAUCACAACGGUAUGCAAAGAUGACAGCGUUAGCAGGUCAAGUAAAUAAAAUUCCUGUCCUCCCCUUCCAUGUUCUCAAUCUAAUGCAGGACAAGGAGGGAUAUGAAAGGAAGUUACUAAGAGGGGGAAGAUAUCCUCUUGUAAAAGGAUAGAAACAUCAAAUAAAGAACAUAAGCUCAAAAAAAUGAACCAAUCACUUGGCAAAGUAAAGGAAACCCCUUUAAAACUAGUGAACUGAAACCCACAAAUAGACAAGGAAACAGGCAUGUCCUGCACGAUAUCAGAAAGAAUAAACCAUGGCGGAUCUGUAACGUUGCCCACCUAGUGGGAUCAAGGCUUCAUUGUUGUUGACGGAUCUGUAACGGCAAUCCAUCCAAAUGAACCGAAUAUCGUCACCAAACAAAAGACAGGUUACAAGAUACCAUAUUCUCCCUCACAGCAAAACCUCAAAACAGUGAGAGAAAGACCAUAAAGUUAAACAUAGAUGGACGCAUCCAAUGCCAUACAAAUAGUCCAAACAACUUACUUUGCUAUUGAUGGCUACUCAUAUGAAUGCUUUUAUGACUCAAUACAAACUUCAAUGGAAAGAGCCCUCUGAUGCCCAAACACAUGAAUCAAACAAUUAGUGUUAAUCAAAGAAAGUAUCACAAUCCAAAUGAAAGUCACAACUUAGUGUUAGUUUCAGCCAUGACAUUUCAGGAAGAAGAUUCACAAUAAGAUGAUUAAAAAACGAUUCUGAAGGGUUUAAUCUCCAAAUGAGGGGCAUAAGAAUUAAGAAGUAUAUAAAUAACAAAAGUAACUGAUAAUGGCCAAUAAAUAUACCAAAAUCAUAGGCAUCUUUUGGUCAUUGAGGAUCCAAAAAAAAUGGACACUUCAAGAAAUGGCAACUGAGUAGGAAAAAAAACUAAAAAGCAUGUACAACAUGCAAGGUAAGCAAAUGAUAAAAACAGGGAGAAAGAAUGCCAAAGAAAAGUUAUCCCAGAACGGAAAAUGGACCAUAUCCACUUCCAGAGCAAGCAAAGAUGAGAAAGAAGGUGAUGUGAUAAACUUCCUGGGAUUUGAGUUGAGUUAGUAGCAGAAACCCCAAACUUGACAUCCACUACCAUGUCAAUGAAAACAUUAUUUGCUCACUUUGCCACUAGGACAGUGUUCAUAGACACAAUAAUCUCACUAAGUAUCCCUUACUGGAUACAUAACUUGUAGGGUUUCGAAGGUUGAUGAAUCAAUAUCUGAGUUAUCCAAGUUUCAAUACUUUAAUUUGACAACAAAUCACAGAACCAAGAACCUCAUGUCCCUUUAUUAGCCAUUAUCUAUUCUUUUUUCAUGAGAUCAUUAUAAAAAAAUCCCGUCAACAAAGCCUACAUAUAGCGAAGAGUGUAGUGUAUUUACCAUGGCCGAAUAUCACUUCCAUUGACUCUCAAUAUGUUCUCUCGCAAUGCCAAACCAGUGUAAAGGAAUAGCAGCCACGCCUGACAAAUAAUAAUACCCAGUGACAUAUUUAGCAUGAAUGUUUUACCAUGUAAUCAAAGAAGAGAGGCUGAUAUCAAAUACCUGGUACAUCUGAACAGGGAAAGCUGGCAAGCAUCCAUCCCAAACCCAAGAUCGUAGAAUUAGUAGUAUUGCUGGGAAAAGGAGGAACAGCAAGGCAGUUUUAUCCUGAACAUAGGAAGUGCCAUUUUCAUUAUAAAAAAAAGUUAGACAAACUUCUUUUUCUGUGUGAAGUUUCACAAACUAUCAAUUUUGAGUCAACUAUGUUAUUUGCAUGCAUGUCUUUGUUCUUUUUCUAGUAAACAUGCUUGAAAAAGAGGGAUCAAACCAAACAUACAAAUCUC
RNAcentral lists this long non-coding RNA (72384 nucleotides) under Lupinus angustifolius (narrow-leaved blue lupine). RNAcentral's name for it is "long non-coding RNA (LANG_LNC001369)". The stretch from base 60305 to 60377 matches the Rfam family "tRNA". Lineage: Eukaryota; Viridiplantae; Streptophyta; Magnoliopsida; Fabales; Fabaceae. The record is from RNAcentral.